CAAGAUCAAAUGCACUGUGUCCAAAUAUUUUAUCUAAAAUGAAAAGAAAAACACUUGCUCAUCUUUCUUCAUGGUUUGUCCAAUCAGAUGCAUCAGAAAAAAGAGAAUUAGAUUGGGGAAGACGUUUUCGAAUUAUAGAAGGCAUUGCUCAAGGAGUACUUUAUAUCCACAAGUACUCCAGAUUGAAAAUCAUCCACAGGGACCUAAAAGCAAGUAACAUACUGUUGGAUGGAGCCUUGAACCCCAAAAUUUCAGACUUUGGAAUGGCAAGGAUUUUCGGGAUAAAUCAGACUGAAGCAAAUACCAAUAGGGUUGUUGGCACAUAGUAAGUCUACAUACAUCUGGUACAUGUUUUCAUUGAAGUAAUGUUCUAUUGCUUACUUCUUUACAUACUGUCAAUUCAUGUGCAGUGGCUACAUGUCACCCGAAUAUGCGAGAUAUGGUCAUUUCUCUGAGAAAUUAGAUGUAUUCAGCUUCGGAGUGUUGUUGUUGGAGAUUGUGAGCGGAAAGAAGAAUGCUGCUUUUUAUCGCCUUGAACAUUCACCAACUCUUGCUGGAUGGGUAAGUACUGAAAAACUAUUCCAGCUAAUGAUCAUUCUGUUUUUAAGCCCUUCAAAUUCGCAAAUGACCAUACGUUCAACAUUUUAAUUAGGCAUGGGAGUUGUGGAAAGACGGAAGAGGAAUGGAGGUGAUUGAUGAAUCAGUAAGGGAAACAUACCGGCUCGAUGAAGCUUUGAAGUGUAUCCAUGUAGGGUUUUUGUGUGUUCAAGAAGCUCCAACUGAUCGGCCAACAAUGUCUUCGGUAAUUCGUAUGCUGCAGAGCAAUGAAUCUACAUCUCUUCCACCUUUCAAAGAACCUGCCUUUUCAACACACAAAAAUUCCAAUCCUGUUUGUUCUUCUCAAAUGCCUACCAUUUUUUCCUACAACACAGUCACCAUGACUUUGCCAGAAGGUCGAUAGGCGUUGGAGAGCGGUGACUAGCAAGCAGUUGAGAAAAUAGUAUAGUAUAUUAGAAUAAACACCCCAACAACUAGCAGUUUUAUACAACACUCAAGGGGUUCAAUUACACAUUACCGGAUAUGUUUGUGCAGUUUAUGGUUUUUGCCCAUCCAAACUAAACCUAUAAUAGUAGCAUAUUAGAUUUAUGUUAUGUAUUUUUCAACUGCAAAUAUGGGCGUAACCAUACUUCAAGAUAUGUUCCCGCUGCACCCCUUGGUGCAACUGUAUUUAUAUUAAAUUAAAAUGGAAUGUCACUUGUAUCAAAAGAAUAAAGUGGGUAUUUUUUUUACAUCUUCCAACUUUCAGAAGACAAAAACUGAAAACAAAAUUGGUCUAGAACAAAGGAUUUUACGUUAGUAUAUCCAUAAUUGGCAACAUGGGUUUUCCUAUGGUUGUAAUAGAAAAUUUGAAAUCAUCAUAUAGAAUCUACCGAAUGCAAGUUUGGCAACUAGAACUAAAAGUAAACUAUGUCCCCAGUCAGUUUUUUUAUCGACGAGGAUUCGAACUUAAUGCCUCUUUUAACAUUGAAAAGCAAAAUAUCAGUAGAACACUUGAUUCGCCUGAUCAUGUUAAACUCAAGCUUUGUCAAGCUGGAACACAUGCACCAGUCUGCUCGAACUAUAGAGGAACUGAAUGCACCCUGCAGAUCAAGUCAAUAAUAAAUCAAUUAAACAAACAGUUAGUGAAUAUCACUUCGAUCUAGAAAAUUUAUGGACCUGGAUAGUUUCACUUACAAGCUACAACUACAAAACAAACCACCGUAAGAGUGUGGAUCAACCAACGAAUGCGCCAUUUAAUAUCAUAUCAUCAAUUUGAGUUCAAUUAUCACCAAAGUAAGAGUCAGUUUGGUUACAAUUAGCACUAGUAAGGACAUCAGUUUAAUCUCGAACUCCGCCGCCAGUUUCGGCAUUAUUGUUCUCCACAACCUUGAAACCCAUGGUUGUGCUGAUUCUUUAUCGGGAUGAGCCCGAAAACACAAACAGAGAAAAGAAAAAAAGUUAAGAUUAAACUUAUGUUUGAGAGAGACAACAUGAGUAUGGUAUAUACAUGGAGGAAGUACAAAUAAAAUGUGUCAGUUUUGGGGCUUAGUUUUUUUGCUUCAAGUUUCUUCUUUUGAGUUUCUCUCGUACUUGUUUUCUUUUCUGAGAUGAAACCAUAGACGUGAAAACCAAGGGGAAAUAAGAAGAAAACUGUUUGGCUUCCUAAUAUGAUUGUUGAUUCUCUUACAAGUUUUUUCAAUUGGCUUGGGUUACUUGUAAACUCAUAUUCUUUCUUUUUUUCUUUUGUUCUUCAGUCAUCAAAGAUUCAUAUUGAUUCACGAUAUGAAUGGUUCAACUGCUAAUAACAAUUUAGUUUAGCGACACUUCGUCUUUAUAAUUCUAAAAGUCGAGUUCUUGUCUCAUGGCUUAAAUCGCUAAAUAGGAAUGUUGUCGGUAAGGUUGGUGGCAUUGUUUCUUGUUACUUUUUUCUGCCUGAUUUGGUUUCCCGUAUAUUUGGGUCCCUACAAUUGUGAUGUUACCCAUUUUGAUGCAAAAUGGAGGCAGGGUACUUAUGCUUCUUGUUUUGGAUAGAGAGUCUCAUCUUAUCCAACUAAACGUGUAAUGUGUUGAUUUUUAUUGAAUAGAGAUUUGCUUUUUAAAAACGUAAGCAACUCCAUGAGUGAGUGAUACCACUAAAACUAUACACACAAUGCAAAAGAGAACAUCUUGUUAGUUUGGCAAGUAAAUCCUGUUUCAAUCAAAAGAGAGAGAUAAUGUGGUUUAGUAAGCAUUGGAUAGAUCAUGCUUGUGGGAAUGGUAGGUGGUCUUGCUCAUUGGUCAUUGCUUGCUUCAUUCACUGAUUUUUCAAACAAUUAUUGCGUGGAACGGAAACAUCAGGUUAAUUGUUGUGUGUGUCAAUGUUAUGUUAAUUUUGAUAAAAUUACAUGUACAUGUGUUGUAGGAAUCAAAUUGAUGAACAUCAUAAAUAACACAGAGCAGGACGAUAAUUGAUAACACUACGUAAUCCUCUAGCUAUUAACGUUAGAACAUUUCCCUAAAAUCACGUCGUUCAUCACGUUUGCAUCCACACAUAAACAAACGUGAAAGACGCGACAUUGAUUGAUAUAAAAUGCAGAGGAUGAUAUUGAUGACUCAAAGGAUAAACCGCAAAAUAAUUGGAUCACACAAUGACAAAACUGUAUAGUACCAAGUGUUGUAAAGGUUAGUUGUAGGAUGUAGCCUACUAACCACAUGGAGUAAUACUAAGGAAAUUAAAUAUAUAGAUUAAAUUUGUAAACUGACUGAUGUAUUAUCAAUAGGAAAUAAACACACUUAUCAACGUUUAAGUAAUAAUCUAAUCAUCAACUUUCAUAUUAUUUAGUUUACAAAUUUAAUCUUCUUAGUAUUAUUUCAAGUUACUGUCCGAGGGAGUGGAGUGGGACCAACUCGGUUACCUCAUCGGUUCAUCCUGCAAAAUAACUGAACUUAACAAGUGCCACGCGUCAGUUAGAUAAUGACUAAUUUCAUUUUAUUUUUGUUAAUUAAUGAAUAUUACAGUUGCUCCGCAACUCACUCUUUUCUUGUUGAGUGACUUGAGGAAGCAGUCUCGUCUCACUUGAUCAGCCCCUCAAUUCUGGUCAACUUUUCCCAAAUGACGAUCUUGUCCUUCUUCACCAGAGCUUCAAGAGCUUUCAAUGGCCACCCUUCUGCCUCCAAGCUUCUGGUGCUUUGUACUAUCAGGUUCUCAAUUUUCUUGCUUACCAUGAAUUGGGUUGAAGUAUUUUCUAUCAUAACAUAUAAAGACACAUUCUUUUUUAGUUUUGGUUAUUUUCCUAUGAAGUAUCAGUUUUUUUCCUAGUUUAAGCAAAAUGUCAGCUCAUUAACUCUGAAUCUAAACUUUUCCUUGAAUCUCAGUUUAUCAACCACCAGACACUAGACUUUGUUUGGUUACUGAGAAAAUAGACUGCAAAUGUUUGUUUUGGAGUUUUAGCUAUGCUGAAUUUAUUCAAGGGAGAUUUUGGACGGUCAUUGGUUAUGAAUAUUUUUUUAUUGAAAUCUUCUUUGUUUUUAAUUUUUGAUCGAUGUUACUGAAAUUAAUGUGAUAAUUUAUUUAUAUGUACGUUACUAUAUUUUUUUAAAUUAAAAAUUAGAAAUUUUAGUUUUUAUUGUGGGAUUAAAAAUAUUAAAAAAAUAAAUAUACUAUUGUGUGUGUGUAUAUAAACAUGGAUACAUUCAUCAAAAUUAACCAAAAAAUUUAUUGUAUCAAAACUGACACACCCCAAUCCUAGAAUCAAGGCGUGAUGGCCGUCACGUGAGUGUGACGUAGCCAAAAGUGCGACGUGGAAGCAAAAGAUAAGAGAAAUAUGCAGGAAUUUAAAACAACUACUAGCAAUAAUAUCCAACUAGCAUGAUAAAGUGAGUUUAACAGUAAAACACACAAUUUCAGAGCGUAAAUACUAGGUGCAGUCAAGUAGGACUAUAAUUAAAUUACAACACCCGCAAGUGAGUCCUACAUGCAGGACGUAUGUCAGAACGCCGAAGAGAACCUUGUGAGCCACCAAUUGCUAACUAGAACCUGGAGGGGCGUAAAACAAAGUUGAGUGGGUCAGUAAAACCAAAGUUUUCUAAAACAUUUCAUUUAAAACAUUUCUAACCCCUCACUGUAAAACUUGUAUACUUUCCCAGAAAAUAACAUAAUAGCAUAAUAUUUGCUCAAAUUGCUCAAAACAUCAAUUUUAUCAAAAUCCAGUAAAUAUGCCAAGCAAUAAUGUCAACGAUUGAAAUAUGGAUGCAUCAAUAUGACAGGUGAUAUAAUGAAAUAACCGGAGACCCUUCGGCUGGCCCUGUACGGUUCAUUCUAUAGCUCAUUAUCCGACCCAACCGGAGUCACCACAGUGACCUAUACGGCCCUACUCUGCACAUCAAUCGGAACCACCUAAGGUAGUCUGUACGAUAGAAAAGGUGUACGAAUACGCUCUAGUGCUUCUCUCAUCAAUCAUCGGCGCGCAUAAUCUAAAGUCACCUACUAGUCGGAACCACCUCUAGCGAUCUAUACGACUAGCAUGUCGGAACCCUCACAUGGUCUGUACGACAUUCACCUACUUGGAUCCAAGGUGAGCGUGCGGUGCGGUGAAUAAUAUAAGCACUAACACCAAGGGUGCAAGUUAUGAGCUCUCAAUGCAAUUCACAUUAUAAUAAAUCAUAUAAAUAACGAGAAACUUAUCUGUACGUCCACAGCACCAAUUCAUAUAUAUAAAUGCAUCAAUUAUCAAUUCAUAUAUCUCAUAGUAUGCAUGCAUGACAUUUUAAAACGUAUUUUCAUAUAAUUUCAUUUUCUGGGAAAAUCAAUAGUAUAUAGGUAAUACGAAAACAAAACUGCCCACUCACUGGUAAGUCGAUGGGUCGUAACCCCCGUGACGUCCCUAGAUGUGCUUGUCCUCGGGAUAGGUGUCACCUAUAUGUGAAACAACUAUAAAAAUGUUAAUUAAAACACAUAACCGACAAAUCGAAAUAACUUCUCACACGGUGCUCAAUUUGGGUAUGUGAAUAUACCACAUCGACCUACUCGUCGUCACGAACGUCGAGGAAUUUUUAAAAUAAUUUUUUGACGUGGCAUGCGCCAGGGCAGGCACGGGGACACGUGCCCCCCACGCGCGUCUUCUUCCCUGGGUUCGCCGGACUGUGUUUUCCGGUAGCCGGAAAACUGGGGAUUUUUCAAUCCCCUUGUUCUCCUUCAUUUUUCACCCAUUUUCUUCAUAUUUUAUGUCAAAAUGAAGCCCUAAGCAUGUAGUUUCACAAUAUACUACUUUUAAGGCUCUAAAAACAACUAAAUCCCACAGGAAAACUUCCAAGAAAAACCGGCCAAAAUCGAACCUAGUGAUUCCAACGUCCAAAACCUUCAAACGAAGCACUCCGAGCUUCCUUGGGACCUCACUAAGCUCACUAUAAGCUUAGAAUUCCCUGAAAUGCAACAUAUCACGAUUGCAUGAAUAGUGACAUAAAAUGGGGGUUCGGGUUCCACGUGAUUUCGAAGGUUUCACUUCCUAAAAGUAGCACCAAACGACUCAGGAGGUCGAAAGGAUGAAGAACCAUACCUUUUUGGCUUCGAUCCGUGGAGUUUUGAUGUCCUUGGUCCAUGUCCGUACAAUUUCGAAGGGUGAGGGAGAUAUAACGGGGAAGAGAAAGGGAAAGCACAGGGGAAAGGGAGAGAGAGAAGACUGAGUGUGUGUGGUCCACCCUAAACCUUAACCACACAAAUAACAACCCAUUAAGCUAAUAAAAUUUUCCAAACUUAGGAAAAUAAACUUUAUGAACAAAGUAUGUCACACACUCACCUUAGUAACGUCAAGGGCAGCAUCGUCAUUUCACGUCCUCGAAAUAUAUAUUUCCGGAACGGGCUGUGACAAAAACAUGGAUACAUUCUUCAAAAUCACAAAAAAAGAAAAAGAUAUUAGGCUUUAUAAUAUUAGUAAAUUUCUUCAAUUAAACUUGACAUGAAUACAUUUUAAAAUCAAAGAAAAAAGAAUGUACCCAUAUAAGUUUAAAAAUAGAUUAGAAAAAAAUUGAAUAUAUUUUAUAUAAAAAAAGGUACAUUUUACAUAUAACAAAUUGGUAUAUUUUAGAAUGAGUACAUUUUAAGAUUAAAAAGUUUUAUAUGAAUGGGUACAUAUAAUUAGCAUGGGUACAUUUAGCAAAAUAAAAAGUACAAAUACAAAAAAUAUAUAUGGGUACAAAUACAAAUAAAAUUUUAAAAGAAUAUAGGCACAAAAAGAAAUUAAUAUAUAGGUACAAAUUAAAACUGAAAAAAAAAUGGUACAAGUUAAAAAAGAAUUACAAAUUAAAAAUGGAUACAAACUAAAACUAAAAAUAUAUGAUAAAAAAUUUAGUCAUAAAUAUAAAUAUACUAAUUGUAACAUUUUUAACAUUAAAUGAAUAUAUUUAGAAAUAAAAAAUAUUUUAUUAUUGAAAUAAUUAAUGAUGUUAUUAAUACCAAGGACCUUGAUAAAAAAUUGAAAAGGAAUAAGAUUUUAAUCAAUGAAGUGGAAAAAAGAAAGGAUGAGAACCUAAUUUCUCCUGUAUUUAAUUUGCUCUCUGUUUUCUCAGCAACAAAACAUGCCUUUUGAGGUUGUUAAUUCUUUUCAUGUGAUCUUUCACUGUGGAAAAGAAUCCUCACCUCUUAAGUUACCCUUUUGCUUGAUUAGCUUGAAGGCCUACAAUCAGUUUACAUAUUCUGUGACAUCCCACAUCGCUCAGGGAAAUGAUCCUUAAAUGUAUAUUCCUAUCCUUACCUAGCACGAGGCCUUUUGGGAGCUCAUUGGCUUCGGGUUCCGUAGGAACUCCGAAGUUAAGCGAGAAGGAGCCAGAGCACUCCUAUGAUGGGUGACCCACUGGGAAGUUGCUCGUGAGUUCCCAAAAACAAAACCGUGAGGGCAUUGUCGGGGCCCAAAGCGGACAAUAUCGUGCUACGGUGGUGGAACAGGCCCAGGAUGUGGUGGUCCGCCCCGGGCAGGGAUGUGACAAAUGGUAUCAGAGCCAAUCCCUGGCCGGAAGUGUGCCGACGAGGACGUCGGGCCCCUAAGGGGGGUAGAUUGUGACAUCCCACAUCGCCCAGGGAAAUGAUCCUUAAAUGUAUAUUCCUAUCCUUACCUAGCACGAGGCCUUUUGGGAGCUCAUUGGCUUCGGAUUCCAUCGGAACUCCGAAGUUAAGCGAGAAGGAGGCUAGAGCACUUCCAGGAUGGAUGACCUACUGGGAAGUUGUUCGUGAGUUCCCAGAAACAAAACCGUGAGGGCGGGGUAGAGGCCCAAAGCGGACAAUAUCGUGCUACGGUAGUGGAGCGGGCCCGGGAAGUGAUCCGCCCCGGGCCGGGAUGUGACAUAUUCCAAGUACCUUGACAUAGAUCUACUACUAAAAGGGUCAUGUUGAAGAUUUACAAUAGUUUACCAAAGCAUGUGUUUUUACCUUUUUCUUUUGUUUGAAUUGUUCGAUCCACAUUGAUAAGAUCAAAAUCUGUAAGCCCUUAAUCAACCUACAAGUAACACAGAGGAUAGAGAGGAAGAGGGAAGGAAGAUGAAGGAGCAGAGCUCCAGAUAUUUUUGUAUUUAAUUUUUUUCUUGUAAAUUAUGUUCUGAUUUGUUUCCUGGGAGCUAGGCUCCUUUUAAAUAGUUAACUAGGAUUAGGGUUUCUCAUCUUUGUUUUUAAAUCACCAUUUUCUAAUCUUUGUUUUUAAAUAGUUAACUAGGAUUAGGGUUUCUCAUAAAUUGUUUUAAAUAAUGCCAGCGGAAAACGACCUUGCUUGAGCCGUUUAUACUACAACAACCUUGUUCUCUUGCAAGUAUUUUGUUUGAUUUUAUCCCUACUUUUGUAGGUGGUAAAAUACCUAUCAAGUGACGCCACUAAAACUAUGCACACAAUACAAAAGAGAACCUCUUGUUAGUUUGGCAGGUACAUUAUGUUUCAAUCAAAAGAGAGAGAGAUAAUGUGGUUUAGUAAGCAUUGGAUAGAUCAUGUUUGUGGGAGUGGUAGGUGGUCUUGUUCAUUGCUCAUUGGUCAUUGCUUGCUUUAUUACCUGAUUUUUCAAAAAAUUAUUGCAUGGGAUGGAAACAUUAGGUAAAUUGUUGUGUGUGUCAAUGUAUGUCAAUUUUGAUAAAAUUACAUGUACAUAUGUUGUAUGAGUCAAAUUGAUGAACAUCAUACGUUAUACAGUGCAUGACGACAAUUGAUAACACUACGUAAUACUCUAGCUAUUAACAUUAAAACAUUUCCCUAAAAUCACAUCGUUCAUCACAUUUGCAUCCACACAUAAGCAAACGUGAAAGACGCGACAUUGAUUGAUAUCAAACGUAAUACUAAGGAGACUAAAUUUACAAAUUAAUUAAUGUGUCACCAAUAUGAAAUGAGCAUGCUUACCAACGUUUAACCAAUAAUUUAAUCAUCAACUUCCAUAUCAUUUAGUUUAUAAAAUUUAGUUUACAAUUUAAUCUCCUUAGUAUUACUUCAAUAAUCACGUUACUGUCCGAGGGAGUGGAGUGGGACCAACUCGGUUACCUCAUCGGUUCAUCCUGUAAAAUAACUAAACUUAACAAGUGCCACGUGUCCGUUAGAUAAUGACUAAUUUCAUUUUAUUUUUGUUAAUUAAUGAAUAUUACAGUUGCUCCGCAACUCACUCUUUUCUUGUUGAGUGACUUGAGGAAGCAGUCUCGUCUCACUUGAUCAGCCUCUCAAUUCUGGUCAACUUUUUCCAAAUGACGAUAUUGUCCUUCUUCACCAGAGCUUCAAGAGCUUUCAAUGGCCGCCCUGUAGCCUCCAAGCUUGUGGUGCUUUGUACUAUCAGGUUCUCAAUUUUCUUGCUUACCAUGAAUUGGGUUGAAAUAUUUUCCAUCAUAACAUAUAAAGACACAUUCUUUUAAGUUUUUUUUAUUUUUCGAUGAAGUAUCAGUUAUUUUCCUAGCUUAAGCAAAAUGUCAUAGAUCUACCACUAAAAGGGUCAUGUUGAAGAUUUACAAUAGUUUACCAAAGCAUGUCUUUUUACCUUUUUCUUUUGUUUGAAUUGUUCGAUCCACAUUGAUAAGAUCGAAAUCUCUAAGCCCUUAAUCAACCUGCAAGUAACACAGAGGAUAGAGAGGAAGAGGGAAGGAAGAUGAAAGAGCAGAGAUCCAGAUAUUUUUGUAUUUAAUUUCUUUCUUAUAAAUUCUGUUCUGAUUUGUUUCCUGCGAGCUGGGCUCCUUUUAUACAGACUCCACUCCUUAAAAUGCCAGCUGGCAUAUUUAGCAAUCCUUAAUAAUAAAAACUAACGCAUAAAACAUUCAAUUAAAUCUCUAAAUCACCGAUUAAGACAAUCACAAUUGAGACCUAUUUUGGGUUCAUAACACACAUUGUCAUAGGCAAGCAAAUGUAGACCAAGUGCAUUAUUUCUAAAAAAAAUGAAGAAAACUUCGCUCGCUUGACCUCAUUCUCGAUCAUAGUUUUUCUGUUUUGAUUUCCGUCUGGAUUAUUGGAGUAGUGGUAGGUCUCGUGGCGUAUGCAGAAUUGCAGUCCAACGUUGGCCCUCCUAUUGUCGAUCCUAAUCAUAAGACAAAUUAAUGAAGAUUGGUCUCAAAUCGAGACAUGCAUUAUCGACUGCUCUUUUCUUUCUUAAACAUUAUUUACUUGAUCUACAAGUCGUGUGUGUUUAACUUUUAUGUCAUGGCAGAGAAAUGGAGAGAUCCAAUAUUGGGAAGCAGAAUGCGUCAAGAUUGAUGCAGCAAAAAAAUGUUUCCAUGCGGGCUAAUUUUGACCAAAACUUUGGUGGGAAAUAAGGAAUUUUCCCUUGAAUAUGACUACUUGGUCAUAGCAUUAGGAGCACAAGUGAACACUUUUAACACCCCUGGUGUAAAGGAGAACAGUCAUUUUCUGAAGGCAAGUCCGAUCCCUUGCGCAGGGAGAACCUACUCGUGGAAACUAUGAUCGCUUGACAGAAACGAUGUAGCUGAGGCAUUGUAAUCAUAGUUCUAGGAUUCGUGUUUUUGUUGGUUUUUUUGUGUUGAAAUGUUGGUUUUGAGUUUCAACUCUACCCUUACCUUUUUCGAUCGGGUGUAGGGUCUGAAAUAACUCAUAAAUUGGAGUGUUGUCUAUCAGCUUCAUCUUGUGUUAUUGGUCGAGACUGGAACAGCACUACAUCUAAUCACACUAAUUUUGUUUCAUUUAUGGUUUUGUGAUUCAUGUUAAAUUUCAUCUAAAUUUAUGUUGGUGGUGACAUCUUUAUGCUCAAUUGCUGCAGCUGGACUCUUUUAUUAAUUGAAUUGGGUUUAAGUAAAUUAUAUAGUAAUAAUAAUUUCUAAACCCUACAGGACCCACCUCGUCUCCACUGAUUAUGUUCUUGAGAGUACCCUAAAAAGGAACAUUUUCUCUUCCCAGCCGUUUCGUCCGUGGAUUCUCUUUCUCUUAUGAUUUUGUUUUUCGAAUGCAAUCGAAUUAGCUGCUAUAUGGACCCUUUCCUAUCUGUUGUUCCCAGCGCUUUCCCAGGCCAAGCUGGAAUUAAAAAAAUAGGAAGGCAAAGCUCUGCUAAUCUUUUUGUUUUUGGGGGAUUUAGAUUUUGUAGUGAUUAAUUAGUUUGCAGUAGAAUCAAGUGGUACGAACAAACAUCGACACAAGAGGAUGAUUGAUGGAGAAAAUGACGUGUGGAAAUCAUUACCUUCGAUUAGUCAUGUGUUGAUGGGUUCAGAUUGUACAAUCUUUUGAUUGGAGUUCAGACCAAAAACAGACUUAGACUUGUAAAUGAAUCUUCUUGUAAACUUUGUGGUACUGCGAAUUUGAAAAUUUUCAACAUAUCUUUGUUUUUUGCGAUCAAUUUUUGUUAGUAAAACUUGUAUUGAUGGGAAAAGAUUAUGAUAAUUAACAACAUUUAAGCUCAAACACUCUUGAACCCCAUUGAAAUAACAUGAACCAUAAUUUGUUGCAAGCAUGUGUGAUUAGUAUGUACAUUAGCUUGCAGUUGAAGCAAUCUCACUCCAACAUUUCCUAAUCUAACUUGAAAUAACACAUCAACAAUGGUCAUGCCCUUUCCAUACGUUGUACUUUCUACGAAGACUAGGUUCAUAUGCCAGCAACCGUGUACGAAGGGUUGAAUACUUGACUUAGUUGACUUGCAAUGAUCACCACAAAAAGGGCAUAUAGGUUAAGUUCCAGUAACAUGCAUACGGUAAAUCUUUGCCUGCCUGCUGAAUUCUUUGUGCAGCCAUGAAUACCAAACCAAACUCAAAGUUCGUGUUCUCCAUUAUUUUAUUAUGUGCAUUUCUCGAGUCCCAUGUUUCCCUUGCAGCUGACACCAUCAGCGAAAACCAAUCUCUCUCGGGCGAUCAAACCAUUGUCUCUGCAGGUGGGAUGUUUGAGCUAGGUUUCUUCAAACCAGGUCAGCUUUCAAACUACUAUAUAGGCAUAUGGUACUCCAAGCAAGUGGCAUCUGAGAUGACCGUUGUUUGGGUAGCAAAUAGGGAAAUACCGGUAUCUGAUAGAUUUUCUUCCGUGUUAACCAUCUUAGAUGGUAAUUUAGUUCUCUUGAACAUGUCCAAAAUCCCGGUUUGGUCAACAGAUUUAAACUCCACUACCAGUUCUGGUUCUGUACUAGCAGUUCUUUUGGAUAGCGGAAACCUUGUCUUGAUAGCCGGCUCUAGUAAUAAUACAUCAGAGCCUUUAUGGCAAAGCUUUGAUCAUCCAACCCAUGCUUUGCUACCAGGAGGUAAACUUGGAUUCAACAAAAUUACAAAUCAUACCCAAUUUGUCACUUCAUGGAAGAAUUUGGAGGAUCCUGCACCAGGUCUUUACUCUCUUGAGCUAGCUCCGGAUGAAAGCAAUUCAUAUAUCUUAUUGUGGAAUAGGUCUAGACAGUAUUGGACCAGCGGACCAUGGAAUGAAAGUCUGCAUACUUUCAACGUGCUUCCUGAAAUGAGGAUAGAUCAUAACUUCAUUUAUAAUUAUGUUACAAAUGAGAACGAAAGUUAUUUCACAUAUUCUUCUAACAAUCCUAAAAUUGUAUCUCAAUACUCGAUGUCUGCCUCAGGACAGAUUCAGCUACUAUGGAUGGAGAAUUCCAAGCAGUGGGAAUUGUUUUGGUCUCAACCAAGACAGUGUGAUGUUUAUGCUUCUUGUGGGGCUUUCUCCAGUUGCAAACCCACAUCCUUCAACUACUGCAAAUGUUUGAAGGGCUUUGUGCCAAACCGGCAGAGUGAUUGGGACUUGCAGAUUUAUUCUGGUGGAUGUUCAAGAAGAACCAGUGUGACGUGUGGGAAUGCUACGGGAGAUGGGCUUCUAAAAUUAAAUAGAGUCAUUGCCUGAUAAUUGAAAAUAUGAUGGUACUCUUAGUAUCGAAAGUUGUAGAUCAGCCUGCUUAAAUGAAUGCCAGUGCACUGCUUAUACUUAUGGCAGCAGCAAUGCAUGUUCAAUCUGGCAUGGAGAUGUCUUGAAUCUGCAUGAAGUUGAAGCAAAUGAAGGUGAUGGAAGUACUUUAUACGUCAGAGCGGCAGCUUCUGACAUCAAGGAAAAACGUAAUAAUAGAAUGAUUAUUCGUGUUGCAAUUAGUGGUCAUUGUUUUGGCGCCAUUAUCUUGAUGUUGUCAACAAAAUCUUUUUCUUCUCUUUGCAGGUGUAAUUAAGCCGUCCCUUUGGAUUGCAAUAGUCUCAACAAUCACUGGUUUAAUUGUUGUCGUUUUUGGCUGUUUCUUAUGGAAGAAAACUACGGGAAAGAAAAGGUACUGCUACCACCGAUCUCAUCUCUCUCUGUGUCUUUUUCUCUCAAACGUGUUCUAAUACUAUGACUAAAACAGAAAGCAUAAGAAGAACCAUACUGAGAGUAAAAGUAAAUUUGAUGUUGGAGGUGGAGGUGGAAAGGAUGAUGCAGAACUACCGAUCUUCGGUUUAAGGGCUGUAGUAGCUGCUACAAACAACUUUGCUGAAGCUGAUAAACUCGGCGAGGGAGGAUUUGGCCCUGUUUACAAGGUGACACUUCCACCAUGUGCUUUAAAUACAAGUACAUUUUUCUUCUCCUGAACACCUUUGUUUAUUUCUGACCUAAACAAAUAUCCAAGGAGAAUUAAAGGACAAAAAUAAAUAGGAGUGUGCAGGAGAAAAAAGCUGUCCAAAAAUCAUUCCCCCUUUCGAAAAUAUGAUUUUUUUUUUUCUUUGAACUUCAAAAAAUGUUCUCUUGUGCGCUUUUCUUCCUCUGUACAGGGAAUUCUGGCUGAAAGUCAAGAAGUAGCCAUUAAAAGGUUAUCAAAAAGGUCAGGCCAAGGACACGAGGAGUUCAUGAAUGAAUUAAAACUUAUUGCCAAGCUCCAACAUACCAGUCUCGUUAGGCUCUUGGGUUGCUGUCUUGAAGAUGAGGAAAUGAUAUUGAUCUACGAGUACAUGCCCAAUCGGAGCUUAGACAAACUUUUAUUUGGUAAAUACAAGCUUAUGACUUAUUAAUUCUUUGUUUCUGCAAAUUAUUUUCUAUUGAUGUUUUGAUGUCUAUUUCAUAUCAUUAACUGUUACAAGAUCAAAAAUACAUAUAGAGGAAGAGACGGGAAAGUAGAAGGGAAAACGAGAGGUGGAGGACAAUGACAGCCCAAGCACUCAUGGUGACAGCCAAAGCACUCCAAAGCACUCAUGGUGACAGCCAAAGCACACAUGGUGAUGGCCUCCACCCUACCUAACUUAAGCCACUAACUUAACUUUACAAUUAUGAGGGAACAUUAUCACUUUAAUUAUACUAGCACUAAGACUAGACAAAAGCUUGCAUUAUUCUUCCAACAUUUAACCCUACUUCCAAUAAUAACUUCCAAUACUCCCCCUCAAGCUGGAUCCAGAAGGUUGAUGGAUCCAAGCUUGGAGAGGAGCCUUUGAAACUGAUGAGAAGCCAGAGGUUUGGUCAAUAUAUCAGCCAGCUGAUCGGAGCUUUUUACAUAAUGCGUCUGAAUCACCUGCGACUGUACUUGUUCACGGACAUAGUGGCAGUCGACUUCAAUAUGCUUCGUCCUCUCGUGAAAGACGGGGUUUGAUGCUAUGUGCAUGGCAGCCUGAUUGUUACAAAAUAAGGUCAUUGGUUGAGCCGUGAACACACCUAAGUCACAUAAAAGUUCUUUCAGCCAUAUUAGCUCACACGCGGUUGGGGCCAUUGCACGAUAUUCAGCUUCGGCACUUGAUCUUGCGAUGACAGUUUGUUUUUUGCUCUUCCACGUGACCAAGUUUCCACCAACAAAGGUGCAGUAACCAGUGGUGGACUUGCGAUCGAUGGCGUUUCCUGCCCAAUCUGCAUCGCAGUACCCCAUGAUUUGAGUGUUGUCAUUCUUCGCCAUGAGGAUGCCACGACCAACGGACCCUUUCAAGUAACGUAAGAUCCUUUUGACAAGGUUCAUAUGCUCGAUGGUGGGGGAGUGCAUGAACUGACUGGCGAUACUUACUGAAUAUGAGAUGUCCGGUCUGGUGAUCGUUAGGUAGAUCAGCUUGCCAACAAGCCUCUGAUAGAAGCUAAUAUCCGAGAGUGGCGUGCCUCCCAAGUCAAGUUUGAGCUUGCUAUCGAGAGGGGUAAGUGCAGGCUUAGCAUCACUCAUAUUAGCGUCCUUGAGUAGGUCCAUGACGUAUUUUCGUUGAUUAAGAAAUAGUCCCUUGUGAGAAUAUGCCAUUUCGAUUCCAAGAAAAUACUUCAACACCCCAAUAUCUUUAAUCGCAAAUAUUUGUUGAAGUGACUGUUUGAGUGUGGAGAUUUCUGCAACAUUAUCACUUGCAAUUAUUAAGUCACCCACGUAUAUCAACACAACUAAUUUGCUCACAUCUCCUGUGCGAACAAAUAAUGAUGAAUCUGCAUUACUCAUUUUGAAACCAACACUAAGAAGGACGGAACUUAGUUUUGAAUACCAAGCACGAGGCGAUUGCUUCAAUCCAUAAAUCGACUUAUGCAACUUACACACCAAAUCAGGCUCUUGGCUUUGAGGGUGUCCUGGUGGCAAUCUCAUAUAGACCUCUUCUUUAAGAUCACCAUGUAGAAAGGCGUUAUUCACGUCCAUUUGGUACAUGGACCAACCCUUAUUGACGGCAAUAGACAAUAUGACCCUAACUGAGUUCAUUUUUGCAACAGGAGCAAAUGUUUCUUUGUAAUCCACCUCAAAUGUUUGAGUGAAUCCUCGAGCCACCAGCCUGGCUUUAUGCCUCUCAAUCGAACCAUCAGAAUUAAACUUGAUCUUAUAGAUCGAUUUGCAGCCCACUGCCCUUUUUCCUUUUGGAAGUUUGGUGAUGCUCCAGGUGUUGUGUUGGUCUGGUGCUUUGAGUUCAUCUCGCAUUGCUUCUUUCCACACAACUUGGUUAUUAGCCUCAUGAAAGUUUUGAGGCUCACUGUGACUUGAAAUGGUGUUAAGAAAGGCAGCAUGAGAUGGAGUUACCUUUUGAUACGACACGCAAUUGGAGAUUGGAUGUCUCGGUUUAUAUGUGACAAAAUCUUGAAACCUCGUGGGAGGUUGUCUAUCACGUCGAGGAUUGCGUCGAGGUACUGGGAGAGUUGUCUCAUCCUCGUUUAAAUUAUCAGCCACACUUUGAAGAUUUUCCAUGUUGCCGCUGUCAUCAUCAUGUACAGAACCAUCAGGGUGAGUGCCUUCAUUGUUGACUUCAGUGAGAGGUGUAGGAGAUUCAUCAAUGUUGUCAUGGUUAGAACCUCUGUCGUUUGAAACAUCUGGAGUGUUGAUUCUUGGUAGAGGAAGUAGGUCUAAGAAACACCCCCCCUGACUUGUGGCUUCAUGUGAUUUGCUGAAAAAAGGGUUAGCUUCAUGGAAUUGUACAUCUUUGGAUACAAUUAUUUUUCUCAUUUGAGGAUCAUAGCACUUGUAUCCUUUUUGUGUUGAUGAAUAACCAAGAAAAAUACAUUUGAGAGCUCUAGGGUCCAAUUUAUCUCGAUGUUGUGGCUGAACAUGAACAAAACAUACACAACCAAAGACUCUAAGAUGUGAAAGUUCGAUUUUUCUUCCUUUCAUGACUUCAAGUGGAGAUUUAAACUCCAAGACUCGGCUAGGAAGUCUAUUGAUGACGUACACAGCCGCCAUGACUUCUUGUGACCAAAAUCUCUUUGGUACAUUCAUUUGUAACAUUAAUGCUCUCGUUUUUUUCCAGUAUGUCACGAUUUUUCCUUUCGGCUACACCAUUUUGUUGAGGUGUACCAACACAACUUGUUUGAUGCAUGAUACCAUGCUUGCUCAAAUAUUGUGACAUGACAUGGGACAUAUAUUCGGUGCCAUUGUCAGAUCUUAAGGUUUGAAUUUGAGAGGAAAAAUGGUUCUUAACAAGGUUGUGAAAAUCUUUAAAAACUUCCAUCACUUCACUCUUAGACUUUAAAAGGUACAACCAUGUGGCUCUAGAGAAAUCAUCAACAAAGAUUACAUAAUACUUAUAACCAUCAAACGAUUCAAACGUUGGUCCCCAUACAUCUGAGUGAACUAGUUCGAAAACUUUACUAGUCCUAGAUAAGGAUGAGUUAAAAGGCAAUCUAGUGGACUUAGACAAAUGACAUGUUUCACACGAAAUUAAAUCAUUCCCUAAGUUUGGAAACAACGAUGACAAAACAGGUUGGGAAGGAUGAGCUAAACUUUGAUGCCACAAUUGACUAUCCUGGGAUGGAUUGGACUUGGCUUGAAAUCCUCUGGGACAGCUCUUUGAUAUGUAAUAGAGACCAUCUAGGUAAAACCAUUCACCAAUCGUCUUCUUGGUGAGACAAUCUUGAAAAAUGACAUUGUAAGGAGAGAAGAUGGCUAAACAAUUCAAGGUAUUGGUGAUUUUUCCCACAUAUAGAAGUUGAAAUGGAAAAGAAGGUACAUAUAAGGCUACUGACUCAAUUUUGCCCGACAUUAAGUUGAUAUUUCCCUUUCCUAAAACCUUGGAACUCUCACCAUUGGCAGUUGAGACUUGAGAAGGUUGUGAAAAUUUUUCAAACGUGUGAAACUUAGAAACAUGAUUGGUCAUCUGAUCUGUGGCACCCGAAUCAACAAUCCAAAAAUCAUGCAUCAUAUUUACUUUAAGAGCAGUUUUGAAAGCAGUCAUGAUACCUAGCAUGUCAUCUCGGGGUAUGUGUUGUGUGUCUGUCAGAAAACCAGCGAACUUGCCUAGCAAUGCUGUUGAGUUUCCAUCUUCAAAACGGACCAUCUGAUCACUCUUAUUCCAUUCUUUCUUGCUUUGAAGAUAUGCUGCAAACUCAUUUAUGAGUGCAGCCGGAUUUGUUGUGAAGCUCUUGAGUGCAUCAAACCCAUGUGAGGUUGCGGCAGAUGUAUUGUUGGCUUUGUGUGUUGCACGGUUCAGUCUUUGUGAGCCCUUGUUAUCCUUCAUGAACUCCGGCUUUAGUUCUGGAUGUAAAAUCCAUCAUGUCUCCUUAACAUGACCAGUAUAGUUGCAGUGUUGGCACUUUAAGUGUGGAUUAUUCACAUUGUAUUUUCUUUCGUUGGUUAGGUAAGCCCUUGCUUCAGUUACACUGGUCUUUGUGCCAAUGUUCAUAAACUUUCCUUCGUACUUCUUCACGUUGGAUUGUUGCACAUACACUGGUGAAUGAAGGUAGUUCGGGGUUCAUGAGUAUGUGACUUCGUAGGUCUUCGUAUCCUGAAUCGAAGCUUGACAAGAAUUGGAAUAUCUUGUCUUCUUCUGCCCUUUUCAGUAGUACCGACGCUUCAGUUGUAUGAGGCGAUACAUUUCCAACUCAUUCCACCUGCUCUUCAUGCUGCCUAGAAGUUGAACAAAGGGCUUUCCUUAUUGUUAUAGGUUGGAAAUGUCCUUCUUCAAUUAAAACACACGUGCAGCAUUAUUCUGGCUGCCAUACAUCUCCUUGACUGUCUCCCAUAGCUUGAAUGAUGAUUCAAAAUAACUGAAUAUUUUAGCUAGUUUACGUUCCAUGGAAUUUAGGAGCCAUGACAUAACUAGUUGAUCCUUGCAAAGCCAGGUUUCAUAUGUUGGUGAGGAAGCAUUAGGAACUUCGAUGCUUCCAUUUAUGAACCCUAGCUUGGACCUUCCACCUAGGGCAAGACUCACUGCUCUCGACCAAGGUAAGUAAUUAAACUCAUUUAACAAGACCGAGCUUAAUCUUUGAUUUGGGUUGACAUCCACCUCAGACAAAGUUAAGGAGGAAAGUAUCUGGGAAUUUUCCGCCUCAGACGAAGAAGAAUUUUCUUCCGCCAUAUCGGAGAUGGAGUACGAUCAGAUGGUGGGAGUGCAGAAGCAGGUUAUUUUUCCUGCUCAGAUACCAUAUUGAUGUUUUGAUGUCUAUUUCAUAUCAUUAACUGUUACAAGAUCAAAAAUACAUAUAGAGGAAGAGACGGGAAAGUAGAAGGGAAAACGAGAGGUGGAGGACAAUGACAGCCCAAGCACUCAUGGUGACAGCCAAAGCACUCCAAAGCACUCAUGGUGACAGCCAAAGCACACAUGGUGAUGGCCUCCACCCUACCUAACUUAAGCCACUAACUUAACUUUACAAUUAUGAGGGAACAUUAUCACUUUAAUUAUACUAGCACUAAGACUAGACAAAAGCUUGCAUUAUUCUUCCAACAUUUAACCCUACUUCCAAUAAUAACUUCCAAUAUUUUCCUUGUGUGCAAAUGUCAUCUACUGCAAGAUGCACAUUAUGCCCUGUGUCCAACAUUUUAUCUAAAAUGAAAAGAAAAACACUUGCUCAUCUUUCUUCGUGGUUUGUCCUAUCAGAUGCAUCUGAAAAAAACUGAACUAAAUUGGGGAUGACGUUUUCGAAUUAUAGAAGGCAUUGCUCAAGGAGUACUUUAUAUCCACAAGUACUCGAGAUUGAAAAUCAUCCACAGGGACCUAAAAGCAAGUAACAUAUUGUUGGAUGAAGGCUUGAAUCCCAAAAUUUCAGACUUUGGAAUGGCAAGGAUUUUCGGGAUAAAUCAGAUUGAAGCAAAUACAAAUAGGGUUGUUGGCACAUAGUAAGUCUACGUAUAUCUGGUACAUGUUUUCAUUGAAGUAAUGUUCUAUUGCUUACUUCUCUACAUACUGUCAAUUCAUGAGUAGCGGCUACAUGUCACCCGAGUAUGCGAGAUAUGGUCAUUUCUCUGAGAAAUUAGAUGUAUUCAGCUUUGGAGUGUUGUUGUUGGAGAUUGUAAGCAGAAAGAAUGCUGUUUUUUAUCGCUUUGAACAUUCACCAACUCUUGCUGGAUGGGUAAGUACUGAAAAAUGAUUCUAAAACUCAUGGUCAUCCUUUCUUUAAGCCUUCCAAAUUCGCAAAUGACCGUAAACUCAACAUUUUAAUCAGGGAUGGGAGUUGUGGAAAGAAGGAAGAGGAAUGGAGGUGAUUGAUGAAUCAGUAAGGGAAACAUGCCAGCUCUAUGAAGCUUUGAGGUGUAUCCAUGUAGGGUUUUUGUGUGUUCAAGAAGCUCCAGCUGAUCGACCAACAAUGUCUUCGGUAAUUCGUAUGUUGCAGGGCAAUGAAUCUACAUCUCUUCCACCUUCCAAAGAACCUGCCUUUUCAACACACAGAAAUUCCAGUCAUGUUCGCUCUUCUCAAACGCCUACCAUUUAUUCCCACAAUGCAGUCACCAUGAGUUUGCCAGAAGGUCGAUAGGCGUUGGAAGAGCAAUGACUGGCAAGCAGUUGAGAAAAUAAUAUAGUAUAUUAGAAUAAACAUCCCGACAACUAGCAGUUUUAUACAAACACUUCGGGUUCAAUUACACAUUACUCGAGCUGUUUGUGCAUUUUAUGGUUUUUGCCCAUCCAAACUAAACCUAUAAUAGCAGCAUAUUAAAUUUAUGUUGUAUUUUUUAGCUGCAAAUGUGGGUGUAACCGUACUUCUAGAUAUGUUCCCGCCACACCUCUUGGUGCAACCGUAUUUAUAUUAAAUUAAAAUGGAAUGUCACUUGUAUCAAAAGAAUAAAGAGGAGAUUUUUUUUACAUAUUCCAACUUUCAGAAGACAAAAACUAAAAACAAAAUUGUUCUAGAACAAAGGAUUUACAUUAGUAUAACCAUAAUUGACAACAUGGGUUUUCCUAUGGUUGGAAUAGAAAAUUUGACAAUCAUCAUAUAGAAUCUACCGAAUGCAAGUUUGGCAACUAGAACUACAAGUAAACUAUGUGCCCGAUCAGUUUUCUCGUCGACGAAGAUUCGAACUUGAUGCCUCUUUCAACAUUGAAAAACAAAAUAUCACUAGAACACUUGAUGAGCCUGAUCAUGUUAAACUCAAGUUUUAUUGAUGAGAGUAUGGGCUGGUGAUGAUGAGCUCUCGGCAAGCAGCGGGGCUGCUUGGCCUCCAAGAAUAAAUGGAUUCGAACAUGCACCAGUCUGCUCAAACUAUAGAGGAACUGAAUGCACCCUGCAGAUCAAGUGUCAAUAAUCAAUCAAUUAAACAAACAGUUAGUGAAUAUCACUUCGAUCUAGAAAAUUUAAGGACCUUGAAUAGUUUCACUUACAAGCUACAACAACAAAACAAAUCAACAUAAGAGUGGAUCAACCAACGAAUGCACCAUUCUAGUUGAGUCCGAUUACCACCAAUGUAAGAGUCAAUUUUGUUACAAUUAGCACCAGUAAGGACAUCAGUUUAAUCUCGAACAAAGCUCCGCUGCCAGUUUCGGCAUUAUUGUUCUCCCCAACCUUGAAACCCAUGAUUGUGCUGAUUCUUUAUCGGGACCAGGCCAAAAAACACAAACAGAGAAAGAAAAAAAAAGGAUUAAACUUGUGUUUGAGAGAGAAAACAUGAGUAUGGUAUAUAAAAAUGUUGUAGGCAAGGUAGGUAGCAUUGUUUCUUGUUACUUUUUUCUACCUGAUUUGGCUUCCCGUAUAUUUUGGGUCCCUACGAUUGUGAAGUUACCCAUUUUGAUGCAAAAUGGAGGCAGGGUACUUAUGCUUCUUGUUUGGAGAGAUAGUUUAAUUAAAUGUGUCAUGUAUCAAAAAAGGUUUACUUUUAAAAAACAUAAACAAAGUUCAUUGAGUGAGUGACGCCACUAAAACUACGCAUACAAUGCAAAAGAGAACCUCUUGUUUGUUUGGCAGGUAAUUCCUGUUUCAAUCAACAGAGAGAUAAUGUGACUUAGUAAACAUUGGGUAGAUCAUGCUUAUAGGAGUGGUAUUGUUCAUUGCUCGUUGGCCAUCUUGCUUUAUUCCCUGAUUUUCAAAAAUAUUAUUGUGGGACAGAAACAUCAGGUUAAUUAUUGUGUGUGUCAUUAUUAUGUUAAUUUUGAUAAAAUUUAAUGUAUAUAUGAGUUAGACAAAACAACGACGAUAAUUGAUAACACUACGUAAUACUCUAACUAUGAACAUUAAAACAUUUCCCUAAUAUCACGCCGUUCUUCACGUUUUGCAUCCACACACAAGCAAUCGUGAAAGACGACAACAAUUGAUUUUGAACGUAAAUGAUGAAACUGAUGACUCAAGGAUAAACUGCAGAAUAAUGGAUCACACAUAGGCAAUCUGUAUAGUACCACGUGUCGAAAAAGUCAGCUGAAGGAUGCAGCCUACCAACAGGCUACAGGGACAUGUAAUCACGUUACUGUCCGAAGGGAAGCAGUGGGACCAACUCAGUUUCCUCAUCGAGCAAAAUAACUGAAGUUAACAAGUGUCACGCGUCCGUUAGAUAAUGACUUAUUUUAUUUUAUUUUUGUUAAUUAAUGAAUAAUACAGUUGCUCCGCAACUCACUCUCCUCUUGUUGAGUGAUUUGAGGAAGCAGUCUCUUCUCUUCUCACUUGAUCAGCCUCUCAAUUCUGGUCAACUUUUCCCCAAGGACGAUCUUAUCCUUCUUCACCAGAGCUUCAAGGGCUUUCAAUGGCCACCCUGUAGCCUCCAAGCUUCUGGUGCUCUGUACUAUCAGGUUCUCAAUUUUCUUGCUUACCAUGAUAAUUUCUUUUCGAUCGGUUUGGCAUGAGGUGAAGCCUCACAUGACCUAAAUUUUUUAAUAUAUAUACGGAGUGUACACAUAUAUUAUAUUAAAAAAGAAGAAGAUUAUUAAUCAAUAAUCAUCCCGAGCACACACAUAUAUUAUAAAUACAUAUACACAUAUAUAUUAUAUUAUAUAUAUAAAAUAGAGGAUGAAAAGUAUAAUGAGCACACAUAUAACAAUGCACGUAGACGGCACAUACAUUCAUUAUAUAAAAAAUAAAAAUCAGAAAACAAGGCAGAGAGAUGAUAGUGCAAGGAAGAUGUGUGAGGUAGUUAAAACCUUACCCAAAAUUUGGGUUUGGGAGUAAUAAUAAAAAAAAAUUAAAAAUAAAAUUCUCUUGAGGAGCGCCUAGGCGGCGCCUUCCGCCCACUCCCUGAAAACAGAGGCGGCAUCCCUCAAGCCCAGCCUCACAGGGCGCCUAGGCGCGCCCUGAGGCGAGCCUUUUAAAACAUUGGAGAAAAUGCAUGACCAGAAAAUGAGUUAGUGUUAAGCGAUUACGGGAGUUACCAUUGUCAUAUCUCAAAUUAUUAUUAUAUUGAAUAUACAGUUUCUACAGUUAGGUUGAAAUAUUUUCUAUCAUAGCAUAUAAAGACACAUUCUUUUUUGGUUUUGGUUAUAUCUCAAUGAAGUAUCAUUUUCUGAAGGCAAGUCCGGUUUAUUGAAUUUUUAGGUGUCAAUGAUGUUACAAUCCGACGUGUUUGAGGCGUAGAGGAAGUGAGAACCUGCUUUUGUGCAGGGAGAACCUACUCGUGGAAACUAUGAUCCCUUGACAGAUUCGAUGUACCUGAAUCAUCGUAGUCGUAGUUUUAGGUUGUGUGUUUUUGUUGUGUCUUGUGUUAAAAUGUGUUUUUGAGUUUCAACUAUACUCUUAUACUUUUUCAAUCAGGUGUAGGGUCUGAAAUAACUCAUAAAUUGAAGUGUUGUCUAUCAGCUUCAUCUCUUGUUACUGGUGGAGACCGGAGUCAAACAACAACACUGCACCUAAUCACACUAAUCUUGUUUCAUUUACGGUUUUGUGAUUCAUGUUAAAUUUCAUUUAAUUUGGAUUGAUGCUGCUAAUCUUUUUGUUGUCGAAGGAUUUAAACAAGAUGAUGAUUGGUGGAGAAAAAUGGCAUGGGGAAAUCAUUACCUUAGAUUAAUCAUGUCUGGAUGGGUACAGUUUGUAGGAAUUCAGACCAAAAACAGAGACAUGGAAAUGAAUAAACUUUUUGGUAAUGGGAGUCUUAAAAGUUUCAACAUAUCUUUGUUUUUGUGAUUACUUUUGUUAGUUAGACUUGUAUGGAUUGGAAAAGAUUAUGAGAAUUAACAACAUUUAAGCUCAAAACCUCUUGAACCGAAGGAAUCAUGAUCGUAGGUAACCUUAUUGAAAUAACACAUGAACCAUAAUUUAUAGUAAGCAUGAAUGCUUAGUUUGGUACAUUAGCUUGCAGUUGAAGCAAUCUAACUUGAAUGUCCUAAUCCUAACUCAUACCUCCAUGUCUUCUCGGGUUUAGGAUAUGUGAUGCCUCAAGGGUUUACACAUUGUAGACUGUAGAGCAUUGACGAAUUUGAACAGAACCGUUAUACUACCAGAAUCUUUGACAGAGGAAGAACAAUGUUCAAGCCCUUUCCAUACAUUGAAUUUUCUAUAAGUCGUUGUCGGUCCAUAUGCCAGCUAAUGAACCGUAAGAAUUGACUUAGUUGACUUACUGAUCACCAUGAAAAGGGCAUGUAGGUUAAGUUCCAGUAACAUGCAUACGGUAAAUCUUUGCCUGCCUGCUGAAUGCUUUGUGCAGCCAUGGAUACCACACCAAACUCAGAGUUUGUGUUCUCCAUUAUUUUAUUAUGUGCAUUUCUCGAGUUCCAUGUUUCCCUAGCAGCUGAUACCAUCAGCGAAAACCAAUCUCUCUCGGGUGAUCAAAUUAUUGUCUCCGCAGGUGGGAUUUUUGAGCUCAGUUUCUUCAAACCAGGUAACUCUUCAAACUUCUACAUAGGCAUGUAGUACACCAAACAAGUAGUAUCCGAGAGGACCAUUGUUUGGGUGGCAAACAGGGAAAAACCAGUUUCCGAUAAAUUUUCUUCAGUUUUAAUGAUUUCAGAUGGUAAUUUAGUCCUGUUCAACGAGUCCAAAUCCCCUGUUUGGUCAAUUUAACCUCCUCCUCCGCCACUGCACUUCUUUUGGAUACCGGAAACUUCUCGGUGUCCAGUAAUAGUUUAUCAGAGCCGUUAUGGAAAUCCUUUGAUAAUCCAAUGCAUACUUGGCUGCCAGGAGCUAGAAUUGGGUUUAACACUGUUAUCCAACAAACCCAAAUAUUUACUUCACGGAAGAGUUCAAAGGAUCCUGCACAGGGUCUUUUCUCGCUUGAGUUGGACCGAACGGAAGCAAUGCGUAUCUUCCCAUACUGUGGAUCCUACAGUAUUGGAUAUGCAUUGCUUCCGUGACGCAUACUUCACCUACCCUCUUUAUGAUCCAAAGAUAUUUUCUUGAUUCGUGACGCAUACUUCGGGGAAAAUUCAACAGUUGUCAUUGUGGGACAUACCGUGGAAUUUGGUUUGGUCCCAACGGAGAAAACAAUGCGAAGCUUAUGAUUUGUGCGGUGAGCACCCUCGCCUAUAAUUGCUUGAACGGUUUUGAGCCGAAGGCGAAGAGAGACUGGGAUUUAAAGGACUACCCUGGUGGGUGUUCAAGAAAAAAAAGAUCUGCAGCUGAGGCAAUCUAACUCGAACAUUUCCUAAUCCUAUAGCUCCAUCUCUUCUUGUGUUCGAUACGUGAAUCCUCAAGGGUUUACACAUUGUAGAGCAUUGAUGAAGUUGAAUAGAACCGUAAUACAUUGAAUUUUCUACAAAGACGGUAAGAUCCCACAUUGCCCAGGGAAAUGAUCCUUAUAUGUAUAUUCUCAUCCCUACCUAGCAUGAGGUCUUUUGGGAGCUCACUGGCUUCAGGUUCCAUUGGAACUUCGAAGUUAAGCGAGUAGCGCGCGAGAUCAAUCCCAUGAUGGGCGACUGGGAAGUUCUCGUGUGAGUUCACAGAAACAAAACCAUGAGGACGUGGUAGGGAUCCAAAACGGACAAUAUCGUAUUACGGUGGUGGAGCGGGCCCGAAAUGUGAUGGACCCCCGGGCCGGGAUGUGACAAAGACUUUGUUCAUAUGCCAGCUAAUGACAGAAUGUGAAGGGUUGAAUAGUUGAUUUAGUUGACUUGCAAUGACCACCAUGAAAAGGGCAUAUAGGUUGAGUACAGUAACAUGCACACGGUAAAUCUUUGCCCACCUGCUGAAUUCUUUGUGCAGCCAUGGAUACCAAACCAAACUCAGAGUUCGUGUUCUCCAUUAUUUUAUUAUGUGUAUUUCUCAAGUCCAAUGUUUACCUAGCAGCUGACACUAUCGGUGAAAACCAAUCUCUAUCUGGCCAUCAAACCAUUGUGUCUGCAGGUGGGAUUUUUGAGUUAGGUUUCUUCAAACCUGGUCAGCUUUCAAACUACUAUAUAGGCAUAUGGUACUCCAAGCAAGUAGUAUCUGAGAUGACCGUUGUUUGGGUAGCAAAUAGGGAAAUACCAGUAUCUGAUAGAUUUUCUUCGGUCUUGAGCAUCUUAGAUGGUAAUUUAGUUCUCUUGAACCAGUCCAAAACCCUGGUUUGGUCAACAAAUUUAAACUCCACCACCACUUCUGGUUCUUUACAAGCAGUUCUUUUGGAUAGUGGAAACUUUGUCUUGAGAGCGGGGUCUAGUAACAAUACAUCAGAGCCUUUAUGGCAAAGCUUUGAUCAUCCAACCCAUACUUGGCUACCAAGAGGUAGACUUGGAUUCAACAAAAUUACAAAUCAUACCCAAACUCUCACUUCAUGGAAGAAUUCGGAAAAUCCUGCACCAGGUCUUUACUCUCUUGAGCUAGCCCCGGACGAAAGCAGUUCAUAUAUCUUAUUGUGGAAUAGGUCUAAACAGUAUUGGAUCAGUGCACCAUGGAAUGAAAGUUCACAUAUUUUCAAGGUGGCUCCUGAAAAUCAAAUGUUCAAUUAUAGUUAUGUUACGAAUGAGAACGAAAGGUAUUUCACCUAUUCUCUUUACGAUCUAAAAACUGUAUCUCGAUGCUCCUUGUCUGUCUCGGGCCAGAUUCAGCAACUAACAUGGUUGGAGAAGCAGUGGACUUUGCUUUGGUCUCUACCAUUACAACAGUGUGAUGUUUAUGCUUUUUGUGGGGCUUUCUCUAGUUGCAAUCCCACAUCCUUGGACAACUGCAAAUGUUUGAAGGGCUUUGAGCCAAACCGGCAGAGUGAUUGGGACUUGCAGAUUUAUUCUGGUGGGUGUUCAAGAAGAACCAGUAUGCAGUGUGGGAAUGCUGCUAGUGCGAAUGGGACGGGUGAUGGGUUAUUGGGAGACGAGUUUCUAGAAAUACAUAGUAUUUCAUUGCCUGAAAAUAACCAAUAUGGAUACGCUCUUGGUAUCGAAAGUUGUAGAUCAGCCUGUUUAAAUGAAUGCCAUUGCACUGCUUAUGCUUAUGAAAGCAACAGUUAUUGUUCAAUAUGGCAUGGAGAUGUUUUUCUGCCAGAGCUUGUAGCAAGUGACGGUGGUGGAAGAACUUUAUACAUCAGAGCUGCAGCUUCUGACAUUAAGAAAAAACGUAAUAAGAGAGUGAUUAUUCAUGUCUUACUUGGAGCCGUUAAUCUUAAUGUUGUCCCAGUGAUUUUUUUCUUUUCUUUGCAGGUUUAAUUAAGCCGUCCCUUGUGAUUGCAAUUGUCACAACAGUCACAGGUUUGCUUCUUGUCAUUUUUGGCUAUUUCUUAUGGAAGAAGACAGUGGGAAAGAAAAGAGAGCAAAGGAAUAGAUAUGGUGAGACUAAAAGUAAAUUUGCUGCUGGAGGUGAAAACAACGAUGCAGAACUGCCGAUCUUUGGUUUAAGGGCUAUAAUAGCUGCUACAAACAACUUCGCUGAAGCUAAUAAACUCGGAGAGGGAGGAUUUGGCCCUGUCUACAAGGUGACACUUCCACUGUGUACUCUAAAUACUAAAACAUUUUUCUCCUCAUGCACACUUCUUGUGUAUUUAUGACCUUUGGAUUGAAUAAUUCCAAUGAGAUGAAUCACGGGGCAAAGUACACAUGGGUGUGCAGAAGGACAAAAAAGAGUGUUCGAAAAUAAUUUCUCCUUUCAGAAACAUGACCGUUCCUUUUUACUUCUCUUACAAUUUCUUCUCUUGUGCGAUUUUCUUCCUCUAUGCAGGGAAUUUUGGCUGAAAAUCAAGAAGUAGCCAUAAAAAGGUUAUCAAAAAAGUCAGGUCAAGGACAACAGGAGUUCAUGAAUGAGUUAAAACUUAUUGCCAAGCUCCAACAUACCAAUCUCGUUAGGCUCUUGGGUUGCUGUCUUGAAGAGGAGGAAAUGAUAUUGAUCUACGAGUACAUGCCCAAUCGGAGCUUGGACAAACUUUUGUUUGGUAUAUAUAUGCUAAUGACUUAUGAUUUUUUCUGCAAAUAUAUUGCUUUCCUUGUGUUUAAAUGCCGUGUACUGCAAGAUCAAAUGCACUGUGUCCAACAUUUUAUCUAAAAUGAAAAGAAAAACAUUUGCUCAUUUUUCUUCAUGGUUUGUCCAAUCAGAUGCAUCUGAAAAAAGAGAAUUAGAUUGGGGAAGACGUUUUCGAAUUAUAGAAGGCAUUGCUCAAGGAGUACUUUAUAUCCACAAGUACUCUAGAUUGAAAAUCAUCCACAGGGACCUAAAAGCAAGUAACAUACUGUUGGAUAGAGCCUUGAAUCCCAAAAUUUCAGACUUUGGAAUGGCAAGGAUUUUCGGGAUAAACCAGACUGAAGCAAAUACCAAUAGGGUUGUUGGCACAUAGUAAGUCUACAUAUACCUGGCACAUGUUUUCAUUCAAGUAAUGUUCUAUUGCUUACUUCUAUACAUACUGUCAAUUCAUGUGCAGCGGUUACAUGUCACCUGAAUAUGCAAGAUAUGGUCAUUUCUCUGAGAAAUUAGAUGUAUUCAGCUUCGGAGUGUUAUUGUUGGAGAUUGUAAGCGGAAAGAAAAAUGCUGCUUUUUAUCGCUUUGAACAUUCACCAACUCUUGCUGGAUGGGUAAGUACUUAAAAAUUAUUCUUGCUCACAAUCAUUCUGUCUUUAAGCCUUCCAAAUUCGCAAAUGACCGUAAAUUCAACAUUUUAAUUAGGCAUGGGAGUUGUGGAAAGAAGGAAGAGGAAUGGAGGUGAUCGAUGAAUCGGUAAGGGAAACGUGCCACCUCGAUGAAGCUUUGAAGUGUAUCCAUGUAGGGUUUUUGUGUGUUCAAGAAGCUCCAGCUGAUCGACCAACAAUGUCUUCGGUAAUUCAUAUGUUGCAGGGCAAUGAAUCUACGUCUCUUCCACCUUCCAAAGAACCUACCUUUUCAACACACAGACAUUCCAAUCCUGUUCGCUCUUCUGAAAUGCCUACCAUUUUUUCUCACAACUCAGUCACCAUGAGUUUGCCAGAAGGUCGGUAGGGGUUGAAAGAACAGUGGCUAGCAAGCAGUUGAGAAAAUAGUGUAUUAAAUUAGAAAAAAAGACAUUGCGACAAAUAUGUUUAUACGAACACUUCAAGGGUUCAAUUGGAGAAAUAAAAGUCCCCUCAGCUGUGAGGUUGAGUCUCUUAGAAAGCAUACACCGAAAGAGAAAUGAAUUACUGGUGUUUGUGUUUAAUGGUUUAUGCCCAUCUAGACUAAACCUAUAAUAGCACCAGAUUAAACUUAUGUUAAAGUGUUUUUCAGCUGCAAAUAUGGGCAUAGCCAUAUUUCAAGUUAUGUUCCCACCCCACCCCUUGGUGCAAACCAAUUUAUAUUAAUAUAAAAUAGAAUGUUGUUUGUAUGAAAAGAAAAAAGAGGAGAUUUUUUUACAUUUUUCAACUUUCAAAAGACAAAAAAUAAGAACAAAAUUAGUAUAGAACAAAGGAUUUUACAUUAGUAUAUCCAUAAUUGAAGGAUUUAAGCCCUUUCCAUACAUUGAUUUUUUCUACAAAGACUUGGUCCAUAUGGCAGCUAAUAAACAAUCUGUGAAGGUUGAAUAGUUGACUUAGUUGACUUGCAAGCAGGCGAGAAUAUCUAUCUAUAUAUGGUUAAGCGAGAGUCUCACGGAUGGCGACAAAAUUUUGGAGUCACCCCAUUCAAAACCUGUCCAAAAUAAUAUAUCAAAUCAUGCAAUGAUAAUUUGGUAAUUUAGUCAUAAUAAAAUAUAAAGUAAUGGGUUGUUGGACAAAAAAAUAAGAUUAAAAAAAUGUAAGGAGUUCCAUCCCUCUCCCCCCCCCCCGGCGCGUCUCAUCUCUCAUCCCUCAUUAGAGGUGGGCACUUAGAACCAAAAACCAAACUAAAACACGAACCAAAUCGAACCGCACCGAACGGUUUGGGUUUGCGGUUUUUGAACGGUUUCGGUUUUGAAACCGAACCGCAACAUAGAAAACAGUUUGGUUUCGGUUUUGACUUUUGAAAACUGCACCGAAACCGAACCGCACCACAAAUAUUAAUAAACAUUUAAUUAAAUGUCCAUAUUAAAUUUCAUGUUUUAAUUGGUUGUUUAUUAAAAUCCAUGCACUUAGUACGGACUCAACCACACUAGAAUAUCAUUAUUCAUCACUUUCUUUCGUUCAUUAACUUGAAGGACCUUUGUUAUUUUAUACCAUCACACACACACACACACACACACACACAUAUAUGUACAAGGGUGGACUAAUCUUGUUAUCAAGAGUCGAACAAUGAUCUAAUGAAGUCCACUCAUUUGAAGCAUGAUAUCACAUAUUCUAGUAUAAAAGUUUCGCUCACGUUUAAUGAAUUCAAAGUUAUUCAAUUUGUAUUAUGUUAUACCUUGUACGGGACAUCCUUUUGUUGCACAAACAUGUUUUAACAUCACAACUGCAUGCAACAUGCUAAUUGUUUAUAUAACAAAUGUCUUUUUCCUAUUGCUACUGGGAAAUGCUUAUUAAUAUGUUAAAUUGCAAAUUGUACAUUUUUUUCUUAAAAACCAAACCAAAACAGUUUGAAACCGCACCGCACCGCACCGAACUAAACGAUUUGGUUUCAUUUCGAUUUUGGCUUCAAAACCGCACCGAACCAAACCACAAAAAAUUUCGAUUUCGGUUUCGGUUUCACUCAAAACCACACCGAACUAAACCGUGUCCACCCAUAUCCCUCACGUCUCUCUCUCUCCUCAUUUUCAUUGUUUUCCUCUUGCCCUUCUUUCUCUCUAUAAAAAAAAGUUUUCGCAUGUUGAUAAUAAUGUGAUUAAAUUAAUUGUCAAAUGAUUAAUUUUUUUUUUUAACAAACAACAUUAUCUAUACUAAGGAGGAGGGGGUAAACUUAACCUCACAAUGGGCUAGCAAUAAUGUGAUUCAAUUAGUUGUUCAUUCAAUAUUAUUUUCUCUAUUUUUAAACACGUUCAAAACAUCUUAAGAGGCGUGUAAUGCCGGUUAUAAAAAAGAUUUUUCGCAUGCGGAUAAUAAUGUGAUUAAAUUAGUUGUCAAAUAAUUUUGUUUUUAACAAACGAUAUUAUGUAAGAGAGAGGGGGUGGGCUUUAGCUUCACAAUAGACUAGCAAUAAUGUGAUUUAAUCAAUUGUUCAUUAAAUAUUAUUUUCUCUAUUCUUAUUGUAAAUUCUAUAGAGACCGAUUUUAUUAUGUGAAUUCAACUACUUUAAUUGAUUUAUGAGAGAUUUCUUCUAGCAUGAUCUAAGAUUAUUUAUUACGUCAAAUAUUUGACUUUCAUUUUGUCAAUUUAUGCAUAUAAAUGCAUUUAAAACGUGUAAGUUGUGCGUACCACGUCGUGAUUUAAAAAAUAUCUUCUACACACGCUCACGCGCGUUCAUGAAGGCUAGUAAUGUAUUAAAUUAGAAUAGAACUACCAUGAUAACUAUAAGUUUUAUACAAGCAUUUAAAGGGUUAAAUUGGAAUGCACCCCGCAGAAACUUCAAAGAAAUAAAGUUUAUCUAGAAAGAAAAUGAUGCGUAUACCAAACGGAGUAAAAAUAUGAUGACGGUGUUCAAAUAGUUAAUACACUAGAAAAUGUACCCGCGUGUUGCUACGGGAUUUGAAGCAUUGUUGAAGAUGUGGAAAGUGCUAAAACAUAUAUGCUAAGAAGUGGGGUUUAUAUACGUGUUACAUCCAUAUGUUAAUCAAGUGUUAUUUACAUUCGUAUAUUACAUUACAAAAAUUGGUGAUGCUCAAGAAAAACAAAUUGGGGAUGCUCAAGGACUUUUUCGUAACCUAUGGCUCUAUCUCGUCCUAAAUUGCAUAUGUUUACAACUAUAUAAAGUUAAAAAAAUCCAGUUUUAAUCCACUGAAGACAUCCAAAUCCAUAACUCCAUUAAUGGUAUCUCCCUCCUUUGUUUUGUACGACAACAUUGAACUAAAAAAUCAAAAAGGAGGAAAUUAAAAACAGAAUUUGAUCACUCAGUGAAUUGAAUCACCUUAAAUUGCAUAUAAAUUGAAUUUGAAUUAAAUUGAAUGAAAGUAUACAGACGAAGGGAAAGUUGUCAUAACUUUACCAUGCAAGAUUUUACCAUGCCCGAUUUCAUUUGCAUGUCCCAAAAUCAAUUUACGAAAUUAAGGUUGGGGUUUUCAUAUUCUCUAUUGGGUAAUGAAAGUCACGUGAAAAGUUCAGAAAUAACCAAACCAAAAUCCAAUUUAGUACACCUAAGAAAAACAUUAGCAAGAAACUAUUUCCAACUCAUCAUUUAUUUAUCAAACACAGUAAUACAGUCAUAGAAACACUCUUAACUCACUCACCAAAAUUGAAUUAAUUAAAUUGGAUGUUGGGGUCAAGUCAAAACGACGGUCGGAGGGGCCAGACAUUUUCAAAGGUGUUGAAGAGAAAAGAGGUCGGACAAAUCAAGAUCUUAGAAAUGCAAGAAGGGAGCUUCUACUGGUGGAGAUUCAAGUGUGCUUUGGAACUUAAUACUAGCCUCUAUAAAAAUCCGCACUCGAUGGAGCUUCAGAAAUCGAAGAGGCGCCUGCUCAGAAAUCGAAAAGGCGUUUGCUUUCUCAAAAGCUGGGCUGCUCAGAGACCACGAUGGCCGAUCUCAGGAAUCGAAGAGGCGUUUGCUUUCUCAAAAGCUGGGCUGCUCAAAGACCACGAAGGUCGAUUGCAGAAAUCGAAGAGGCGCUUGCUUUCUCAAAAGCUGGGCUGCUCAGAGACCACGAGGGCCGAUCUCAGAAAUCGAAGAGGCACCUGCUUUUUCAACCUUAUCAGCACCUGUCACAUGCACACUCAACUUUGCGGAAAUUACGGGCAUUCUGUCGAAGAUUUCUAGUGAAGUAGAAAGCACGUGAAUGUUACUGUUCAAUCAUUCACUUUCCACACGCAACAUCAGCUCACGGGUACCACAGAUAACUUUGCCAAAAAUCUCUGACAAAGUUUAGACACGUGAAGCUUGCAGCUCCCAUUACAUCGCUAUGACCAAGAAGGGUAAAAGAAUAGCAAAGAAGCAGCACUAACAAAGUUUAGACACAUAAAUUUUGAAGGUCUAGCUAUCAUAUUACCCACAAAGGUAAAGGAACAGGACCAUUGCUGGAUAAUUGGAAAGUCCCUGUGGGUCAACCUCUGUGCUCCGUGGCAAGGUAGACUAGCAAACAGGCCUAACCUUUACUCACAUUCGAGAAAACACUCCCAACAAGAUUGCUUGCUUCAAGAUCGAAGAGGCACCGUCCUCCGAAUCUCGAGAGCCAGACUCCCAACAUGAUUACUUUCUCAAAAAGCGACGAGACACCGCUCUCCGAAUCUCGAGAGCCAGACUCCUAGCAGGAUUGCUUUCUCAAAAAUCGAAGAGGCACCGUUCUCCGAAUCUCGAGAGACAGAUCCCCGACAGGAUUGCUUGUUCGAAAACCGAAGAGGCACCGCUUUCUCAACUUCGAGAGCCCCUUAGAUAAAGCUUGUUUGUAAUCCUCACACCGCUUUCUCAACUUCGAGAGCCAGAUCUCUUUGGAUAAAGCUUGUCUGUAAUCUUCACACGUAACAUCAGCUUUCCAGAUACCACACACCACUUUUUCAAAGUGCUCUGACAAAGUUAAAACACGUGAAGCUGGCAGCUCCCACUACCGUGCUAUGACCAAGCAGGGUAAAAGAAUAAUAUUACUCAUUGUUAGGGAGACUCCUAUAUAUGUCGACAUCCAUCCUCAACGGACAAGCAGACCUGCAAAAAUGCUCAACCCUUCCUCAUAUCUGAGAGGGCAUUCCCAACGAAGCCUUUCGAAAUACUCAGCUUUCUUUCCCCCCGAGAAUACCUCUGCAAACAAGCUACACUAGAGCAAGAAUAUCUCAUAUCAUCAGGGUUAAAAGCAAGAGUAUCCCAUAUCAUGCUUUUUCUCUGUCUUUUCCUUUGGCCUUGUUCUUACCUGCAAGACAAGGAGAAAGAGAGCAAUCAGUCAGCACUUGGAAUCAAGCUUCCAGUCCGGAACUAACUGCCUGGAACCCCAUUGCUCUCGAGUACUCAUCUUCAACAUCUUAUGCUUCCCGAGAAGAUACCACAUCUGCCUGAGGAACAAAUAGGGCAAGUGAGAAGGAUACAAGGAAGCAUGUGGAGACAAGCGCAACAGAACACGUGCCGAUACAUCCACUACUUUGUCAACAGCAAAAGUAUCCCAUAUCAGCAGGGUCGAACGUACUCUAGAUUUGAUGGACUUGUUUUGACUCUCAAAUUCUUCAGUCGGCCUUAUACUCUGGCGGAAACAAGAAAACCUUCCAGCCCAGUUCAAGAAUAAGCCUGUGGAAAGUUACUUCUUCAAAAGUAAAAGUAUCUCAUAUCACCUUUUCUCCUUUUCUUCUCUUUAUCCUUCAUGCUACCUGCAAGAUAAGGAGAAGGAUAACAAUCAGCCGGAACUCGAAAUCAAACUUCUGAUCAGGGACUGAUUGCUUGAAGCUCUGAUUGCUUACCUUGUCUGUCACCUCUUUCAGCAGAUCCCCUAGCUCGGCGACUUGGGGGUCUCCUACUACAUGGUUUGUAUGGCGCUUGACCAAGCCUGAAACUACAAGUAAGCAUCAAGUGAAAUUGAUACAUUACCUUGUGCAUCUCCACCAGUUAAAGAUACCACCCCUGGAGGGAGGAAGAGUACUUCCAAAGAAGAUGCCACAUCUACCUAUGAGACAGAUAAGGCAAGUGAAGACGAUACCACACUUCGGUACUUAAAAGUUUCGUGAUUACGAGAUCAUUCUUCCACAAUAUUUCCUAAUGUCAUUUGUACUAAAUCAUUCACUUGUACUCACUAAAGGAGAGCUUGAACCUAUAUACUGUGUAAACCCUUCACAAUUAAUGAGAACUCCUUUACUCCGUGGACGUAGCCAAUCUGGGUGAACCACGUACAUCUUAUGUUUGCUUCCUGUCUCUAUCCAUUUACAUACUUAUCCACACUAAUGACCGAAGCAAUCUAGCGAAGAUCACAAACUUAAUAUUUAAGAUGAUAUUCUUUGGUGUAUGCUUUUCACAAACGAUAUAGUGUUGAUAGAUGAAACGCAGGAAGGGGUAAACGCGAAGCUUAACCUUUGGAGAGAAGUGUUGAAAUCUAAAGGUCCUCGCCUAAGCCGAUCAAAGACAGAAUAUAUGGAGUGCAAGUUCAGUGCAAACGGAGGCCAAAAUGAGUUAGGGGUGAGGAUCGGAGAUCAGGAAAUACCAAAGAGCGACCGUUUUCGCUACCUAGGAUCUAUCUUGCAAAAGAACAGAAAAUUUGAUGGAGAUCUCACCCAUAAAAUACAAGCUGGAUGGAUGAAGUGGAAGAGUGCAUUCGGCGUGUUGUGUGACCGUCGUAGGCCACUGAAGCUCAAGGGAAAAUUUUAUAGGACGGCAAUAAGGCCGGCAAUGCUGUAUGGCAUAGAAUGUUGGGCGGUGAAGCAUCAACACAUAGGUGUAGUGGAGAUGAGGAUGCUUCGUUGGAUGUGUGGGCACACGAGAAAUGAUAAGAUUAGGAAUGAGGAUAUCCGAGGUAAAGUAGGAGUAGCCGAAAUUGAAGGAAAGAAGAGAGAAAAUCGGUUACGGUGGUUUGGACAUGUGCAAAGAAUGCCUACUGACGCUCCGGUUCGAAGAUGUGACCACGGGACAGAGGUUCAGGGCCGAAGGGGUAGAGGAAGACCUAGGAAAACUUUGGAAGAGACCCUAAGAAAAGACUUAGAGUACUUGGAUCUAACGGAGGACAUGACACAAAAUCGAGCGCAAUGGCGUUCUAGGAUUCAUAUAGCCGACCUCACUUAGUGGGAAAAUGCUUUGUUGUUGUUGUUGUUGUGGAUGUUGGGGUCAAAAUUUUAUGUCCGCCUAAGGAUAUUUGAGACUAAAAAUUUAACUCUACUCAGUUUAGCUUCCAAGUCAUUUUUAUUUUCGGUCUUCAGAUUUAGACUAAAUAUUUAACAUUACUUAGUGUAGUUUCAAAUUUAACUUUCCCUUGAGCGCUUGUCUACUGGAUUUAUCUUCUAUAGCCUUUUGUUUGCAAUUUGAAUUACAUGACUCAAAAUACAGCCCAAAUAGAACACAAAUGGCCCUUAGAAAACAAAAUGCGAAAUAUUUACUAAUCACUAUUCAUGGUUUUGGUCAAAGAACUCAAAUUUCAGAGAUACAAAACAGAGCAGCUCGUAUAAAUCAUUUAUAAAGGUUACCUCUUUUUGGUUGAAAAAUUGAAGGGUGACGCCAAUUCUUCUUCAGCUUCCACCUCCUUGUGGAACUUGACCCGCCAGUCACAUUUGCACGUGAACCUGAAAUCAACAACCAGUCAGUACCUUUGGCAAGCUCAUGGGGGUAUGACAACAUGUAUAGGAAUAUUAUUGCAACUCUAUUAAACGAAGAAGUAUUCAGUUGAGGAUGUCGAUGAGGGAGGGAAGAAGAAGAAAAGAAAUGCUAGUUGAGGAACAAAAGAAUUUUGAUGCUGCGUUCGGUUUGUAUGUAUGGUCUAAGAAUUUACAAACUGCCUAUAUGAUUCACUCGCUUCUGUGUCUUCAUCAAAUCUAUUUCUUUUUUACUACCUCUUCUUUCAUGAAGGUAUAAUCGUCACAUUAUUUUCUAACAUAAAAUAUACACCUAACAGACGUUUAAUACAUUGCCCAUAAGUUAACUGAGGUGGGUUUUGCUUGAGUAGUUGGUGACCUUCACAGUCGGCCAAUUGCGGCUGACAUGUGAUUGAUCGUAUAAGGAUAUCUAUUUAAAAUAGUUAAGGGACUUCAAGGAUGCCUCUAGAUUUAUUCUGGUUAGAAGAUCGGGUUGAGUAACAAGUUUUGACUCCAACGGAUAUUUUGCAUAGAAGACUUCAGAAAAUGUGAUUCGCAAAAUGAUGUCAGAUUUCAAAAUUUAAGGCAUGUUUUAAGUGCACUAAGAUAUCUCGAAACGUAUCCUGAUGUGAUACUAUAAUUUCAUGGAAGGAAGAAGAAAGAAUAGUCUAAAAUUUUCCUGUCCAAUAACUCCAUCACCAUCAUCUCCAAUCAGAGCAAUGAUAUCCUCAAUAGACAGAAUUGUUUUAUUUUGGGUACUUAUCUAAACACACAAAAAUUAAACAUUUUCUCAUCCAAUUCACAUAUAAAAUGGUCCAAAAGUGCAUGCAGUGGUUGAGUAGAAACUAAUGUUACUUUGAAUUGAUGAAGUGUUUAUCCUCUAGAAGAUCUACAUAUCUAUUAUAAACCAAUCUUUAGUCUUGCAGAAAGUGAUAUGCUGACUCCAAAUUCCCAUAAUAUUAAAAUUGAUUUACAGUACAAUCUGCAAAUGUAGUUAAAUUUAAUGCUUCCCAUCAUUGCCAUUGUUGCAAAUCAAAUCGUAUGUGCAGAUUUAUGGUACAACACAUGAUCGAAUUAGAUAGUUGUAUGAAUACAUGUUUGUUCUUUCCCUUUCAACUUGUUUGGAUCCUCACUUUUCUCAAACAAAAGAUUAGACUCUUAUGACUUCUUAGCAUAGGGCUUAGAAGGUUUAACCACUCGCAAAACCACUAAUAACAUCUCUCAAACCAUUCAUUGUGCAUAUUCAUGCCAUUUUAAUAUUGAACCUUAUAGGAAUCUAAGCUCAUCAAAGCGUAACUCCGACAAAAUAUACAUAGCAAAUCGACACUUAAUUUCGCAUGAUACUUUUUUUGAGGAAAAACAACGAAGAAAGCCAUUGGGUUACCAUCGUCAAGCGCUCUCAUUUGCCUUGAAAUGGGGGUACCAUAGACACAUAUCCAAACCAGACGCAACGACUCGUAUUCUCUGAAUGCAUUGGUUUAUCAAACACAAACACACAGCCCUAAGAUCAUGUAGUAAGAUUUGGAUUUUUCUUACGCAUGCAUACAGUACAAAUGUAAUAUAGUUAUUUGAAAAAAAUACUCCAGCUCAUCACUUGUAGCCAUGACGCCUUGUUAAAAUUAUUAAAAAACUGGAAUAACAGUAAAGAAAUUGGCAAAAAAUCAAACCUACUAGUCAUUGGUGACCUUCAUAUGAUAAGCAACCACCCAUACCGCAGCCUCUGACGCCUAUCCCAAAAAUAUGGACCUAUAAUAUUCAUUCCCACCGGCACCAAAACCACCAUAGUCGUCUCAUCCCUCCAAGCCGCAGAGCUAUUCUUGAAAACCCAUUACAACAUUUUCCUAGCCGCCCCCUUUACUGCAACAAACCUCAUCAAAAUGCCUAAUAACUGUUCCGGAUGGCACACACCAAAUUUUAUCAUGAGAAAAAAGCAACCCCAGACCCAAAUUAAGCAUUUCAUAAAUCCUAUUUACUGGAAAGAUCUUUUUUUUUUUUGAAGGGAGGUCACCAAUGCUAUCAUAGGGCAUGAGCAGAGAGCGGUUCCAAAACUGCAAACAAAAGCCCCCAAAAGAAAAAUCAAAAUCACCCACAUACCCAAUCGGAGGCUACAAAUUAAAAACAAAAACAAAACAAAAAGAAAAUUUGAACAGAAAAACCAUUUGUAAAUCCAAAGAAUUUCCAUGUCCAGUGCAUUCUUUCUAAUAAUUGACACAAAAGAAAUAAAUAUACAGCCCUAAACCCUAAAUCAGUGGAAGCAAACAGAGAAGGUCAGGUCCUCGAGAGAAAAAAAAAUGAAAACCGAAAGGAAAUUCGCUAUUUACAUUUAUACCAAAAUUAUGAACUUGAAUUUAAUCUUAUUUGAACACAUCCUUGAGCAAUCUUACCUCAAAGCACAUCACCCAGUUAAGUUCUAUAGCAUGUGUGGCCUGAUCAGCCAACUGCGCGUGCCCCACCGUCGAGAUUACCACGUCGACUUGCUCGAUCGCCUUCACCAAGCUCUCAUAAUCGUACAGAUCACCCUGUAAAUUAUAAAUAAUAAAAAAAACCACUCAAAUCAAGCAAAACCCAAUUGGCUAAUCGGAUCAAAAAGCUACAAAAUGCUGGAAAUUUUACAAACCAGGACAAAAUUGAAGCCCAGAUCCUUGAGGUUCUCGAGGAAUUUGGACUUUGCCGGGUUAUAGAGGGUAGUUCUCGGACCAGAAAGUAGGUGGGGUGGCCGGCCUUGGCGCUGGCCUAUGCGAUGAACUUUUCAGUGCCGCCAAUGAAGAGGAAUUUGGACUUGGAUGCCAUCGGGAAUGGGAUUGGGGGGAAUCAGAAUGGGAUGAGUUGGAGAGAGAUAGCGAGUGAUUCGAUUCGAAGUGGAGGAUGAAGGAAGAGGUGGAGGGUCAGUGAGGAGGAGCUUGAGCUCCAUUUGCAGUCGGAGGCUGAGAGAGCAAUGAAAAACGUAGUAGCAAUCCCAGAGGAGAUCGAAAUGAAAGCACACCUGGAGAGUUCGAGAGACAUCCACCGUCAACACGUGGAUAACAGCGGCAUACAUGAAAUAACAGAAGAUGAAAAAGGGCAAAAACGGAAGAACAUUGUAAAAGUAACAGUGUUUUGAGUCCAUAAGGACAUCAUGGGAAUUUACCUGAAAGUUUCUCUUUUAGUACGAGAGCUACAAGACUUACCAUAUUAUCUUAUUUUUCUCACCCACGUUAUAUUUUCAUCUAUCUUAAAAAGUUAAAAAAUUAAUGUUAUUUUCUCGCUCACUAUUAUUCCCAAAAUAACCUUUAAUAUAUAUGUACAUAUGAAAUUAUAAAAUUGUCUCUUAAAAAAUAUAAGAAAUAAUAUGUAAAUGAAAAUUACUAAAGUCUGCAAAUUCAAAUAGAAACGACAGAGGUAUCCAAAUUCAAAAUAUUUCGACAACGACAAAUUUAAAAAUACGAUAGGCAAAUUCAAAUGACCUACACACAAAAUUAUUCUUCUACCUUUUCAAUGGAAACAUAAUCUUCGACCUCUUCUGUUUAAGCUUCAUUUUCUACAUAUUCAAUGAAAAAGUCAUCUUCUAAGUCUAUUGCUAUUUUUUUUUUUUUUACUUUCUCUGAAUGAAAUGAGAUGAAAAUAUGAGUUAAGGUUUAAGGUAGACAAAUUGUCUCCCAUACCCAACUUGUUUUUUUUUUUUUUUUUAAAUUAAGCAAAACAAGAUAAUUAAUGUCCUUAUUAAUCUUUUUGUAAAUGGACAAAUUUGUAAUUAAAAAAUUCAUUAAAAGGUGAGUGGAAAAAUAAGAUAUUGAGGUAAGAAUAACAUCACUCUUUAGUGUAUAUAUAUAAUAUAAUAUAAUUUUACUGUCAGAAUCAUUGAAAAGUGAAGGAACAAAAGUUCAACAUUUUCGAUCCUAAUACGUUUGACUGAGUAGUCCGGAAAGUUACAUUUAAAUCUUGCAUACAUGGAUAUAAUGAAUGUUUCAAUGGUAAUAUCUUAUAUAAUAAUCGUAUCACUAAGUGGGACGUAACAUUAUAUCUGGACCCAUAUUCAUGCCCUUUUCUAUAGCUUUUAUUUGACAAAUAAAAAAUAAAAAAAAAUAAAAAAUAAAAAAACCUUCUACGAAGACAUGGUCGUAAUGGCAGCUACGUACUGAUCAAUAUUAAAUAGCAAGAAAAACAAGAUUUUCGUUGUCAAGGUUCAUUUACCCUUGACCCUUUUAUAGUUGACUUGGAAUUCAUACAGUAUAGUUUAAAUUCUAGCUUCUCUUUUUUUUGUGCAGCAAUGGAUACCAAACCAAUCUUAUUGUUCGAGUUCUCCGUUAUUUUAUUAUGUGCAUUUUGGAAGUCUCACAUCUCCCUUGCAGCUGAACACUAUCAGCGAAAACCAAUCUCUCUCGGGCGAUCAAACCAUUGUCUUUGCAGGUGGGAUGUUUGAGCUAGGUUUCUUCACUAGUACAAAAAAUACUUUGCGCGACGUAGGACCGUCGUCGCGCAAAGUCAAAAAUACGUCGCCCAAAAAUUAGCCAAACGAACCUUCGUCGCGCAAAGUAUUUAGGGUUUAGGGUUUAGGGUUUGCGCGACGUAGGUAGGCACUGCGUCGCGCAAAGUAUCUUUGCGCGACGCAGGAUCUACGUCGCGCAAAGCUACUUUGCGCGACGUAAUGCCUACCUACGUCGCGCAAAGUUUUAUUUAUUUAAUUUUUUUUUUGUCAUUUAUAUUUAUUUUUUUAAUUUUUAAUAAAUAUCAUAAUUACAUUCUAAAAAAUAAUUAAUAAACCAAGAAAAAGUAAAUAAUUAUAGAAUAUAUGAAAAUGUAUGUUUGUCCGAACAAAAAAAUAAAAAACUACAAGUCUUCUAAGUUUAAUACAUCAUGCUACUCGGUAUCGUCGGGGCAAAAUGGCUGGGAAGUCGAAGGUGGAGCAACAUUAGGUGCUGGCAUCGUCGGGAUUUGGAGGCCGGACAUCGCUAAGGCCUGAACAAUCAUAUUCAUCCUCUCGUCCUGGGCCCUAAUAUGGUCGCCCUGGGCCGCAACCUGACCUCUUAGGGUUGUCACUUCCUCCUUCAAGGAAUUGACCUCUCCUGUGGACAAUCUGGAAGAAGAGGCACCCGUUUCACGAAGAGGAAGGAUCAAAUUAGUUAAACCGUGGCAGUAUGUGUAUUUUGUGAGCAAAAAUGUACACAAAGAGGAAGAUUCACUGCGGUCCUUUUUUGGAUUUGCUGCUCAUUACAUAUUUUGUCCGCCUAAAAGGGCUUUAACUUUGAACAAAUUUUGGAGAACUCAAGUCCAAACCAUUUACCUCAGCAGUAUGGUCCUUCACAAUGUGCCUACAGUUAUAGUUCCCAUCAUCAGAGCCUUGCCAUAUGCGAACUGUCUGCAACAUUAAAGGGGAAAAAUGAUGAUACAACAUCAAAAGAUGGAGUACACUAGGUUGAAUAUCUGAUUGGUUACACCCUUACAACCUAUGCAAUAACAUCUAAAUUGCAUGCAUGUAAAGUUCUUUAUUGACUCCAAUUUAUCCUCUUUUUUUCCUGAUCUCCUUUUUGUGUUUGGGUCAGGGAGGUUGAUCACCACCCCCAGUUGCAUAAAAAGUAACUUUAGAAUAUAAAUUUAAAUCCGUGUAGAUCCACAUAGAUGUACAUAAAAAGUCCCAAGGUUAAACUUGUAACUGUGAGGUAGGCAGAGUUUAGCGGUGGCCAAGUUAAUAAUGAAUGACAAACAAAGCUAAUGACAACUCCAGUAAAUAGAGAAGAUAAAAUAGUAAUGAAGAUUACAGCAUUUGUAUCAACCCCUCCAGUUGCAAUGAGAUUCUGCGAGAAUAAAGCCAAAAAGUAAUACUUGAUCAGCAAAAUGGAAACAUAACUGAGUUCAAUGACAUAAAAUACACAGGACAGACACACAAGGAUUUAUGACUUUGUCCUUAAUCCAUAAUCCCGUAUAUACCAUGAAGACAAAAGAUCAGUGUAAAGUGUGGAUUAAGGUAGGAAAAGCAUGCAAAAGAUCUAAAUUCUCAUCAAAUACCAUUACGCAAAAGAACACUAAAACAAGAGAGCUUCAAGGCUCAAUAAAUUCUAGAUUUGUUCCUACUAAAUUCGUUUUCUUCAUUUCAAGACAUUUGGUUUAGGAUCAUCCCUAAACCUAAAACUGUAGAUAUAUGAACAUUAAAGAUCAAAAUGCACUUCUAAUAGUACAAAGGCAGUAUUGAAGAGCAAAAUCAUGCAACAUCCAGUACGAACCUAAGAGUCUUUCACUGGAGUCAAAUACCCAUAUGGAAGUGAUGCUUAAACAAAAUGAUAUAAUAGCAGAGGUAAACACAAUCUCAUACCUUGUUAGACUGAAUAUCAAUCGAUAAAAUUCCUGGUUUGCUUGUUCUAUGAAGAGAAUGACUAGAUAUCUGAGUAUACCUCUCCAACGCAUCAACUGGAGCUAAUGUUGGGGAUAUCUGAACACCAAAGCAACAUACAGAUAAAAGCAAUAACUAUCAGAACUUAUCAAAUAAAUUCUGUGAAAACAGCUGAACUUCACUAGCAGCUUUUCUCAAGAAAAGAUUAUGUGAUAAACCCAAUUCCCUGCACAAAACCAAAUAAAACCCAAUUCACUAAAACCAAUUCCUAAUGAGCAGCAAACCCAAUUCCCUGCACAAACGCAUUAACAUUAACCAUAUUUAAUGAAAGAUAAUGUGAUACUACAGAUGAUACACAUUGGCUAGUAGGAAUAGGUUUGAAAAAUCGAAAACCCAAAAAAAUCGAACCGAAGCCAAAGAAAAACGGAAUACCAAACCCACCCUUUGGUUAUGGAAAUCUCAACUCGGUUCAAAAGUCAUAGGAUGUAGUUAACUAUGAUUUACGGCUACUAAGUCAGGUUCAUUAGUUUUGACCUUAAAUAUUUCUUAGAUUCAUACAACUUAUAACUCAAAUGAACGCAUGAAAUUUCAACCAAUCAUCUAUAAACAUACAUAACACCAGCCAUCAAUCAUCAAUCUACAAAUGCAAUUCAAAUUUUAGGAAAACCCUAAAUGGUGGCAACAGAACAAUCAUCAAUCUACAAAUUCUAAUUUAAAAACCCUAAAAUCCCUACACCAGAAAUUCACAUUAAUAACAAAACCUUAAAUCAAAAUUACCUAAAUUUUAGAUGGAUGACAGCGGGGGUGUUGUCGAAGAGGAGAGAAUCGACGGCGGGGGUGAUGGGGUGAUGGCUGGUGAGCACUACGAGGAGGAGGACGAUUCAGAGUUGGAGAGUCGAGGGAAGGGAGUCGAGGGACUGAGAGUCUGAGAGUGAUUCUGGUACUCGGGUGGAAUUGGUUGAGGAGGAUAGUCGGCUGGAGUGAGAGAGAUGAGAGACCGAAAGGCUUUUGGUUUGGGAAGAGAGAUCGAGUGAGAGAGAUGAGAGAGUGGAAGGCUUUUGGUUUGGAAAAUUUGGGAUUUUUUUUUUAAAAAAAAGCGCCUAUUUUUCAUAAUUGCCCCGCCAAAAUAAUGACAAAUAGCUCGACGCAGGUAUACAUUUCGACGUCGCGCAAGAUUUUUUUUUUUUUUUUUCAAAUAUAAAUUUUACCGAAAAUUUACUUAAUAAAUAUAUAUACCUUUGAACUUGAUGGAAUACGCAUUGUACGAAACUAAUUUCAACAAUCCAACCGUCAAAAUUGUUUGUAUAUAUUCCGAUAUCGCAUACGCCAAAAAUUGGAAAAAAAAAACAUCCAAAUAUCAAGUAACAUGACAAAACCUUUUGACGGUUAUAAACGAAAAAUCACGAUUUAACGGUUAUUUUUAACUCCAAUUUGUUGAGUUUUUCCAACUAUACUCCUUUAGCCUAUAUGAAUACAACGAACCAAUUCGAUCGUCAAUUUAAAAUAUUUACACAAGCGGAUACCACAAAAUGUUAUGUUAAACUUAAUGAUAGUAUAAAUAAACUCCAAGUGUUAGGAAAUAUAUCGUUUUGAUGAAAUACGCAUUCUACGAAACUAAUUUCAACGAUCCAACCAUCAAAUUUGUUUGUAUAUAUUCCAAGAUCGUAUACGCCAAAACCUGGAAAAAAACAAACAUCCAGAUAUCAAGUAACGAGACAAAACCUUUCGACGGUUAUAAACGAAAAACACGAUUUAACGGUUAUUUUAACUCCGAUUUUGAUGAUUUUUUAGAGCUACACUCCUUGAGCCUAUAUGAAUACAACGAACCGAUUCGAUCCUCAAUUUAAAAUAUUUACACAAGCGGAUACCACAAAAUGUUAUGUGUAAACUUAAUGAUAGUAUAAAUAAACUCUAAGUGUUAGGGAAUCUAUCGUUUUAAUGAGAUACGCAUUGUACGAAACUAAUUUCAAUGAUCCAACCGUCAAACUUGUUUGUAUAUAUUCCGAUAUCGCAUACGCCAAAAAUUGAGAAAAACAAACAUUCAGAUAUUAAGUAACGGGACAAACCUUUUCGACGGUUAUAAACAAAAAAGCACGAUUUAACGGUAGUUUUAACUCCGAUUUUGAUGAUUUUUUAGAGCUACAUUCCUUGAGCCUAUAUGAAUACAACGAACCGAUUCGAUCCUCAAUUUAAAAUAUUUACACAAGCGGAUACCACAAAAUGUUAUGUUAAACUUAAUGAUAGUAUAAAUAAACUCCAAGUGUUAGGGAAUCUAUCGUUUUGAUGAAAUACGCAUUGUACGAAACUAAUUUCAACGAUCCAACCAUCAAACUUGUUUGUAUAUAUUCCGAGAUCGCAUACGCCAAAAAUUGAGAAAAAAAAACAUUCAGAUAUCAAGUAACGGGACAAACCUUUUCGACGGUUAUAAACAAAAAAGCAUGAUUUAACGGUAGUUUUAACUCCGAUUUUGAUGACUUUUUAGAGCUACACUCCUUGAGCCUAUAUGAAUACAACGAACCGAUUCGAUCCUCAAUUUAAAAUAUUUACACAAACGGAUACCACAAAAUGUUAUGUUAAACUUAAUGAUAGUAUAAAUAAACUCUAAGUGUUAGGGAAUCUAUCGUUUUAAUGGGAUACGCAUUGUACGAAACUAGUUUUAACGAUCCAACCGUCAAACUUAUUUGUACAUGCUUCGAGAUUGCGUCCGCCAAAAAUUGCAAAAAACAAACAUUCAGAGAUCAAGUAACGGGACAAAACUUUUCAACGGUUAUAAAUGAAAAAGCACAAUUUAACGGUAGUUUUAACUCUGAUUUUGAUGAUUUUUUAUAGCUACACUCCUUAAUCCUAUAUGAAUACAAUAAACUAAUUUGAUCAUCAAUUUAAAACAUUUACACAAGUGGAUACCACAAAAGAAAAAGGCAAUACAAGAACCCAAAAAAAAAAAAAAAAACUUUGCGCGACGUAGGUCCACCUGCGUCGCGCAAAGCUAUUAUGCGCGACGCAUGUGUACCUACGUCGCGCAAAGUUUUUUUUUUUUUUUUUUUUUUUUUUUUGCUUUUGCUUAUGAGUACAAAAUAAAUAAAUUAAAAUGUACUUACUAAAUAUAUAUACCAUUGAAUUUGAUGGGAAACGCAUUGUACGAAAUUAGUUUCAACGAGCCAAUGGUUCGGAUUUCGGGUUAAGAAAUCUGAAUGGAAUUUAGAUGGAGGAGAUCUCUGCAAUGUUACUGGUAUCAGAAUGUGUGUGUGUAUAUUGCAUUAUAAUAUAACGUUGAUGCAAGAAAUGGAAAAUUGAUACUUGAAGGGAGUUCUAAUGUAAGUCGUAUAUUAGAUUCUCAAAUCAAAGCAAAGCUGCUAAUCCAGGACUCCAUCCAACCUUUUGGGCAGAUUUGAAAGCAAGAGUUCCACCAAAAGUAAAAGUUUUGGCUUGGACUGGCUCACUGGAGGAUACAUGUGAUAUGAUCCAGGAAAUUGCCUUUUGUGUGUGUUUCACCUCACUGAUGCAUUUUGUGCAACAAAGAGGGCGAAAGGAGUGUGGAUCAUAUGUUUACAACUAUGUGGUGGAGAUUGUAUGGGGUUGACAAUGUAAAUUAGGUCGGAGUUCUGUUUCUUUGCUCCCUGAGAAACAAAGGUAAGGGUAAGAAAGAAAUGGUCUCCUGCAGUGCAUGGUGUUAGUAGUAAUUCAGAUGGAAGGCGGAUAUUUGAGCAAAGUGAAGGUGUGGAGUUGAGGAACUUUGGGAGAAAAUCAAAUUUUGGUUGUUACUUCGGGGCUUUGGUUGCUGGAGAGUUCAAAAAGUUGUCCCUUUUCUAGCAAUUAUUUGGACUGGGGAGAUCUUGUUGAUGAUUAGAAUUACGAAAUUCCUUUGUUGUUAUUCAUAGAUCCAAAAUAAAAACUAGUUGUGUUAACUAAUGUGGGAAUUGGGGAGAGCAAGACAUACAAAAUAAUAACAUUGUUUCUAACGAUUACAGAUUUAGGCAUUAUGGCUAUUCCUAGUAAUUCAAACUUCAAACCUGAUCUGGUAGACGAUUUUGAAGAGAGAGAUGGGCGAUGGAGGUAGUUGCUGCAACUGGGUAUGCAGUUUCUGCCUCCCAAACUGAUCAAAUGAAAAGAAAAAAAAGUUUGUGACUUUGCGCGACGCAUGUCCACCUACGUCGCGCAAAACAACUUUGCGCGACGUAGGUGGGCAUGCGUCGCGCAAAGGUGGGAAAAAGCGGUAAAUUCUAAGGGUUUGGCGCCAAAAGUUUGCGCGACGACGGACUACGUCGCGCAAAGCCGUUUUGCACGACGUAGGUGUACGUACGUCGCGCAAAGCCGUUUUGGGCGACGUAGUUCUUCGUCGCGCAAAGUAACGUCGCGCAAAGCUGUUUUGCACGACGUAGGGGUACGUACGUCGCGCAAAACGUCUUUGCGCGACGUAAUUUAAUGCGUCGCGCAAGUUUUCGUCGCGCAAACAUGUUUUUGUACUAGUGCUUCAAACCAGGUCAGCUUUCAAACUACUAUAUAGGUAUAUGGUACUCCAAGCAAGUAGCAUCUGAGAGCAAGUGGUAUCUGAGAGGACUGUUGUUUGGGUAGCAAAUAGGGAAAUACCAGUGAUAGGGAUUUUACCACGCACGUAACAGUUUUAAAAACUCAUAUAAUACUUGCAAAAAUGACAAAGAUAUUGUAGUAUAAAUAGUUUCCACAUGGAUUAUUAAAUAAUUCGAAACAAACCAAAUUUCAAUUCAUUAUUGUAAAACAAAAAUUGUGAUGAUUGAUUUUCAUGACCUAAUGUAAUAAAACGAAUUUAAUUAAUAAAAGUAAAUCAAUCUGCAAUAUUAAAAAUUGAAUUUUAACGAAAAGCUUAUUGUACAGUUCACUUUAACGAAAAAUCACAUUUUUACACUAAAAAGUCAAUCCUAAUACUAUUCACUUCACCAUUUAUUUUGUUAUUAUCGUUAAAACUCAAAGUUUUCAAGCUCUUUUUAUUAGUUUUCCUUAUUAAAAAUGAGAAAAAAUGAAAUAGUUUUGUAGAAAUCAAAUUAAGAAAGCAUUAAGGAUCCGCCAUCACAUCUAAACAUGCAUGACUCAUUAAGUUUUGUGAAACUUUUUAAAAAAAUCAUACAACCCUUAACACGUAGUAUUCAUCCUAAAUGCACCUGCACAUAUUAAUCACAAGAAAUUUUCGUCAAAAACUCAAGAUAAAAAAACAAUACAAACCGUGGGCCUCAAAAACUCAAAAUAAAAAACAAUCAUUUACUUUUUGUUUUCUUUCUUUUUCUAUUUCUUUUCUCUUUUUUUUUCCUGUUUUUUUCAUUCUUCCUCAUGGGGCUUUCAAAACACGCGCAAGUGCAAAUGGGAAGGGUUCAAAUUGAUUUCAGUAAGAUUGGUUUGUAGCAAUGAUUUUAAGAGAGGUGUUCCCGUCGAUUUAGCAGUAGAAGCAGCUAAUCGACAACUGGGUUGGUGUCGGUAUUGCAGCAACAAUGAUUCGAUGUCGGUUCGUGAGCUACAAGGCACGCGAGCUUCGAUUUGGGUGCGAUGCAGCAGUGGAUCAUGAUAGAUACGGAUCGGUGCGGUGGACUCGGGUCAGCAACGACGGCGUCGCUCGCUGGUCGGACGGCGUAGCACAACUGGUGCGCGACUAGGAGUUUUGUUCUGCGCAUAGGGAACGGCUUUUGGUUUUUUUCUUAACCUAGGCUCUGGUGCCAAGAAGAGAAUGCUUUGAAUGAUGUGUUUAUCUUCUCAGGAAAAGGUAGAAUAUACAAUCUUAAUUCUAACUAAAUAGGGAAGAAUAAUUACAGAAGAUUACAAAGAUAUUUCUCUCAUAUUACUCAUAUUACACGGGGAUCCAUCUUAAAGAGGAAAUUCUAAAUUAUAGGAAUUAUAAGUCAACAAACAAACCAACGUAAGAGUGUGGAUCAACCGACGAAUGCACCAUUCUAACAACGUUAAUAUCAUCAAUUUGAGUCUAAUUACCAUCAAUGUAAGAGUCAGUUUGAUUACAAUUAGCAUCAGUAAGGACAUCAGUUUAAUCUCGAACAAAGCUCCACUGCCAGUUUCGGCAUUAUUGAUCUCCACAACCUUGAAACCCAUGAUUGUGCUGAUUCUUUAUCGGGACGAGCCCAAAAACACAAACAGAAAAAGAAAAAGAAAAAAGAAAAUCAGUUAAACUUGUUUUUGAGAGAGACAACAUGAGUAUGGUAUAUAUACGGAGGACGUACAUAAAAAAUGCGUCCGUUUUCGACGAAUUCAGACAUCGGAAAGCGUCCUCCCUCUGACGCCGCCGUCGCCGUCAAGUGUUGCAGUUUAGCCUCGCUUUACUCCACGGCUUAUCUGUGUCAAAUCGACCGCUACAUCUCCCACAAAAACCCUAAAUCUUUUCAUCAAUUUUCAGUAGCGUACGAUCCGAUGCGCCUCGACACACCUUAAGCCUGUUUUUGAACAAUCUCCGAAAACAGAGCUAGUCAUGGAGGCGCAGAUCCUACUGCGGUGUCAAACGUGGGGGUUUUUCUCUUCUCAUAGUUUUGCCACUAAAAACGUCCACUAAAUUUUCAGAAUUUGGAUUUUUUUUUUUUUUAUGUAUUUUGAUAUUGUUUUGUGAAUUUUUGGCAAUGAAUACAAAUUAUCCGCGCUUCUGAGAGCAAUCGAUGAAGUAGAAUGUGAUAAUCAAUGGUUGAAUUUCUUGAUAUGAGCCAUUUAAGUUUUUGAUUUGCUGAUUUGGGUCGGUGACAUUUUUGGGUUUUGUUGAUUAAUGUUGGCGGUGAUGACUAAAUUUUACAGCUUUAUGCCAGUUCUGCUUCAGAAAAUUCGUGAUUGAGAGAGCUGUUUCAUACUCUGAGCCUUCUGUUUAUUAAUUUGAUUUUGUUUUUCUUUAGUGUUAUGGAUUUCUGUGUUUUUGGUGGUGCCGAUGACGAUUCAAUCCGCUUGUUCGAGGUGCAGUGGAAUUGAGACCCUGUUUACAGGGAGAACCCCUCAGUGAAACUGCGUUCAUAUGAAUUCAAUGGAUUUAGCUGAGGUUUUAAUCUUACUUACCCUCCUAGUAAAAUGUUUUUGUGUUACUUGUUUGGUUUGUUGUCUGUCUAAGAUUAGAUUUGUUGUUUGGUAUGUUAUUAAUUGCUUGUGAUUGGUGUGUUAAAUUUUGGUGAUAUCUUCUUGUCCUUUGGCCUGUGAUGAUUCAAUCCGCUUUUUUGAGGUGUAGUGGAGCUGAGACCUUGUUUACAAGGAGAACCCCUCGGCGAAGCUACAUUGCAUAUGACAUUAAUGGAUUUAACUGAGGUUUUAAGUCUUCAUCAGCAUCAAAAUCCAUUGUUUUUGUCCUAAUUGCUUGUGUUGUUGAAUAUGGUUUAUUAUUUUGUUCGGAUUAAGUAAUGUUUAGGCGUCAAUGAUGUUACAAUCCAACGUGUUUGAGGCGUAGCGGAAGCGAGAACUUGCAUUUGUGCAGGUAGAACCUACUCAUGGAAACUACGAUCCCUUGACAGAAACAAUGUAGCUGAGGCAUUGCAGUCAUGUGGUUUUGUUGUGUAUUGUGUUUAAAUGUUGGUUUUGAGUUUCAACUAUACCCUUAUGGGUCUGAAAUAACUCAUAAAUUAGAGUGUUGUCAUCAGCUUCAUCCUGUGUUACUGGUCAAGACUGGAGUUAAACAACAACACUACAUCUAAUUGCACUAAUUUUGUUUCAUUUAUUUUGUGAUUUGUGUUAAAUUUUAUCUAAUUUUUUGUUGGAAUCGACUCUUGUGAUGAAUUGAUAUGUAUGCUCAAUAGCUGCUGCUGGAUACUUCUAUUAACUGAAUUGGGGUUAAGUAAUUAAUAUAGUGAUAAUAAUUUCUAAAACCUACAGGCCUCACCCUGUCUCCAUGGGGGAGUACCCUAAAAAAAGGAACCCUUCCUCUCCCAGCCGUUUUCAGGGUCGUCCGUGAAUUCUUUGUCAAUGGUUUUGGUUUUUGAAUUGCCCGCUAAAUGGACUCCUUCCUAUCUGUUGUUCCCAGCUGAUCUUUUUGUUGUUGGAGGAUUUAGAUUUUGUAGUGAGUAAUUAGUUUGCAGGAGUACCAAGUGGUACAAACAAGCAUGGAAACAAGAGGAUGAUUGGUGGAGAAAAUGGCGCGUGGAAAUCAUGACCUUGGAUUCGUCAUGUGUGGAUGGGUUUAUGUUGUACCGUCUUUUGAUUGGAAUUCAGACCAAAAAACAGACGUGUGGUAAAUUGGAAUUUGAAAAUUAUCAACGUAUCUCUGUUUUUGUAUCAAUUUUUGUUGGUAAAACUUGUAUGGAUUGGAAAAGAUUAUGAUAAUUUGUAUCGAGCAUGAGUGCUUAGUUUGGUACAUUAGCCUGCAGUCGACGCAAUCUAACUUGAACAUGUCCUUAUUGUAACACAUACCUCCAUCUCUUCUCGGGUUUUGGAUAUGUGAUGCCUCCAGGGUUUGCACAUUGUAUACAGUGGAGUAUUGAUGAAUUUGAACAGAAGCGUAAUACUAGGAGAAGCUUUUGACAGAGGAAGGACAAUGUACAAGCUAGGAACUGCGUGUGAUGGGUUGAACAGUUGACUUAAUGCAUAGAAUUUUCUACAAAGUACAAAGUCUAAUGUGCCGGCUAGGAACUGUCUGAUGGGUUGAAUAGUUGACUUAAGGGCAUAUAGGUUAAGUUCCAGUAACAUCCAUACGGUAAAUCAUUGCCUGCCUGCUGAAUUCUUUGUACAGCCAUGGAUACCAAACCAAACUCAAAGUUCGUGUUCUCCGUUAUUUUAGUGUGUGUAUUUCUCGAGUCCCAUGUUUCCCUAGCAGCUGACACUAUCAGUGAAAACCAAUCUCUCUCCGGCGAUCAAACCAUUGCUUCUGCUGGUGGGAUGUUUGAGCUAGGUUUCUUCAAACCAGGUCAGCUUUCAAACUACUAUAUAGGCAUAUGGUACUCCAAGCAAGUAGUAUCUAAGAUGACUGUUGUUUGGGUAGCAAAUAGGGAAAUACCAGUUUCUGAUAUAUUUUCUUCGGCAUUGAGCAUCUUAGAUGGUAACUUAGUUCUGUUUGACGAGUCCAAAACCCCGGUUUGGUCAACAAAUUUAAACUCCACCACCAAUUCUGGUUCUGUACAAGCAGUUCUUUUGGACAGCGGAAACCUUGUCCUGAAAGCGGGCUCUAGUAAUAAUACACUAGAGCCUUUAUGGCAAAGCUUUGAUCAUCCAACUGAUACUUUGCUACCAGGAGGUAAAUUUGGAUUCAACAAAAUUACAAAUCAUUCCCAAAUUCUGACUUCAUGGAAGAAUUUGGAGGAUCCUGCACCAGGUCUUUACUCUCUUCACCUAGCCCCAGAUGAAGGCGAUUCAUGUAUCUAUUUGUGGAAUAGGUCUAGACAGUAUUGGACCAGCGGACCAUGGAAUGAAAGUUUGCGUAAUUUCAACAUGGUUCCUGAAUUGAGGCUAUUUAAUGACUUCAAUUAUAGUUCUGUUAGGAAUGAGAACGAAAGUUAUCUCACAUAUUCUAUUAACAAUCCUAAAAUUGUAACUCGAAGCUUGAUGACUGCCUCGGGACAGGUUCAGCAACUAACAUGGUUGGAGGCUUCCAAGCAGUGGAAUGUGUUUUGGUCUCAACCAAGACAGUGUGAUGUUUAUGCUUUUUGUGGGGCUUUCUCCAGUUGCAAACCUACAUCCUUGAACUACUGCAAAUGUUUGAAGGGCUUUGAGCCAAACCGGCAGAGUGAUUGGGACUUGCAGAUUUAUUCUGGUGGAUGUUCAAGAAGAACCAGUGUGAAGUGUGGGAAUGCUACGGGAGACGGGUUUCUAGAAAAAAAUAGCAAGUCCUUGCUUGAAAAUAGCCAAAAUGAACGCGCUCUUAGUUUUGAAAGUUGUAGAUCAGCUUGCUUAAAUGAAUGCCAGUGCACUGCUUAUGUUUAUGACAGCAGCAAUGGAUGUUCAAUAUGGCAUGGAGAUGUCUUGAAUCUGCAAGAAUUUGAAGCAAAUGAUGGUGAUGGAAGAAUUUUAUACAUCAGAGCUGCAGCUUCCGACAUUGAGAAAAAACGUAAUAAGAGAAUGAUUAUUCAUGUCUUACUUGGAGCCGUUAAUCUUAAUGUUAUCCUGAUGAUCGUUUUCUUCUCUUUGCAGGUGUAAUUAAGUUGUCCCCUUUGAUUGCAAUAGUCUCAACAAUCACAGGUUUGCUUGUUGUCAUUUUUGGCUAUUUCUUAUGGAAGAAAACAUUGGGAACAAAAAGUAAAGUUGCGGCUGGAGGUGAAAUGAAUGAUGCAGAACUGCCGAUCUUUGGUUUAAGGGCUAUAAUAGCAGCUACAAACAACUUCGCUGAAGCUAAUAAACUCGGAGAGGGAGGAUUUGGCCCUGUCUACAAGGUGACACUUCCACUGUGUAUUCUAAAUACUAAUACAUUUGUCUCCUCAUGCACACACCUUGUUUAUUUAUGACAUUUGGAUUGAAUAAUUCCAAGGAGAUGAAUCACGGGACAAAGUACACAUGGGUGUGCAGAAGGAGAAAAAAGGGUGUCUGAAAAUAAUUUCUCCUUUCAUAAACAUGACCGUUCUUUUGUACUUCUCUAACAAUAUUUUCUCUUGAGCGAUUUUCUUCCUCUAUACAGGGAAUUUUGGCUGAAAAUCAAGAAGUAGCCAUAAAAAGGUUAUCAAAAAAGUCAGGCCAAGGACACCAGGAGUUCAUGAAUGAGUUAAAACUUAUUGCCAAGCUCCAGCAUACCAAUCUCGUUAGGCUCCUGGGUUGCUGUAUUGAAGACGAGGAAAUGAUAUUGAUCUACGAGUACAUGCCCAAUCGGAGCUUGGACAAACUUUUGUUUGGUAUAUACAUGCUAAUGACUUAUUAAUUCUUUGUUUCUGCACAUUGUUUUCCUUGUGUGCAAAUGCCAUGUACUGCAAGUUCAAAUGCACUGUGUCCAAAUAUUUUAUCUAAAAUGAAAAGAAAAACACUUGCUCAUCUUUCUUCAUGGUUUGUCCAAUCAGAUGCACCUGAAAAAAGAGAAUUAGAUUGGGGAAGACGUUUUCGAAUUAUAGAAGGCAUUGCUCAAGGAGUACUUUAUAUCCACAAGUACUCGAGAUUGAAAAUCAUCCACAGGGACCUAAAAACAAGUAACAUAUUGUUGGAUGGAGUCUUGAACCCCAAAAUUUCAGACUUUGGAAUGGCAAGGAUUUUCGGGAUAAAUCAGACUGAAGCGAAUACCAAUAGGGUUGUUGGCACAUAGUAAGUCUGCAUAUAUCUGGUACAUGUUUUCAUUGAAGUAAUGUUCUAUUGCUUACUUCUCUACAUAUUGUCAAUUCAUGUGCAGCGGCUACAUGUCACCCGAGUAUGCGAGAUAUGGUCAUUUCUCUGAGAAAUUAGAUGUAUUCAGCUUCGGAGUGGUGUUGUUGGAGAUUGUCAGCGGAAAGAAGAAUGCUGCUUUUUAUCUCUUUGAACAUUCACCAACUCUUGCUGGAUGGGUAAGUGCUGAAAAACUAUUCCAACUCAUGAUCAUUCUGUUUUUAAGCCUUUCAAAUUCACAAAUGACCAUGCGUUCAACAUUUUAAUUAGGCAUGGGACUUGUGGAAAGACGGAAGAGGAAUGGAGGUGAUUGAUGAAUCGGUAAGGGAAACAUGUCGGCUCGAUGAAGCUUUGAAGUGUAUCCAUGUAGGGUUUUUGUGUGUUCAAGAAGCUCCAGCUGAUCGACCAACAAUGUCUUUAGUAAUUCGUAUGCUGCAGGGCAAUGAAUCUACAUCUCUUCCACCUUUCAAAGAACCUGCCUUUUCAACACACAGAAAUUCCAGUCCUGUUUGUUCUUCUCAAACACCUACCAUUUUUUCCCACAACACAGUCACCAUGAGUUUGCCAGAAGGUCGAUAGGCGUUGGAAGAGCGGUGACUGGCAAGCAGUUGAGAAAAUAGUAUAGUAUAUUAGAAUAAACACCCCGACAACUAGCUGUUUUAUACAACACUUAAAGGGUUCAAUAUGUAUUUUCUAAAAUGUAAAGUCUAAUAUGCCAGCUAAGGAACUGUAUGUGAUGGGUUGAAUAGUUGACUUAAGGGCUUAUAGGUUAAGUUCCAGUAACUUGCAUACGUUAAAUCUUUGCCUGCCUGCUGAAUUCUUUGUGCAGCCAUGAAUACCAAACCAAACUCAAAGUCCGUGUUCUCCGUUAUUUUAUUAUGUGCAUUUCUCGAGUCCCAUGUUUCCUUUGCAGCUGACACCAUUAGCGAAAACCAAUCUCUCUCUAGGCAAUCAAACCAUUGUUUCUGCAGGUGGGAUGUUUGAGCUAGGUUUCUUCAAACCAGGUCAGCUUUCAAACUACCAUAUAGGCAUAUGGUACUCCAAGCAAGUAGUAUCCGAGAUGACCGUUGUUUGGGUAGCAAAUAGGGAAAUACCUUGGUAUCUGAUAGAUUUUCUUCUGUGUUGACCAUCUUAGAUGGUAAUUUAGUUCUCCGGAACAUGUCCAAAAACCCGGUUUGGUCAACAGAUUUAAACUCCACCACCAGUUCUGGUUCUGUACAAGCAGUUCUUUUGGAUAGCGGAAACCUUGUCUUCAGAGCCGGCUCUAGUAAUAAUACGUCAGAGCCUUUAUGGCAAAGCUUUGAUCAUCCAACCCAUACUUGGCUACCAGGAGGUAGACUCGGAUUCAACAAAAUUACCGAUCAUGCCCAAAUUCUCACUUCAUGGAAGAAUUUGGAGGAUCCUGCGCCAGGUCUUUACUCUCUUAAGCUAUCUCUGGAUGAAAGCAAUUCAUAUAUCUUACUGUGGAAUAGGUCUAAACAGUAUUGGACCAGCGGAUCAUGGGAUGAAAGUUCACAUAUUUUCAACGCUGAUUCCUGAAAUGAGGCUAAAUUAUAUCUUCAAUUAUAGUUAUGUUACGAAUGAGAACGAAAGUUAUUUCACAUAUUCUCCUAAGAAUCCUAAAAUUGUAUCUCGAUACUUGCUGUCUGCCUCGGGACAGAUUCAGCUAACUAACAUGGAUUGGAGAAUUUCCAAGCAGUGGGAAUUUGUUUUGGUCUCAACCAAGACAGUGUGAUGUUUAUGCUUUUUGUGGGGCUUUCUCCAGUUGCAAACCCACAUCCUUGAACUACUGCAAAUGUUUGAAGGGCUUUGAGCCAAACCAGCAGAGUGAUUGGGACUUGCAGAUUUAUUCUGGUGGAUGUUCAAGAAGAACCAGUGUGAAGUGUGGGAAUGCCACUCGGGAGACGGGUUUCUAGAAGUAAAUAGCGGGUCAUUCCCUGAUAAUAGACAAUAUGAAGGUUUUCUAAGUAUCGAAAGUUGUAGAUCAGCCUGCUUAAAUGAAUGCCAGUGCACUGCUUAUGGCUAUGACAAUGGAUGUUCAAUCUGGCAUGGAGAUGUCUUGAAUCUGCAUGAAGUUGAAGCAAAUGAAGGUGAUGGAAGAACUCUAUACAUCAGAGCCGCAGCUUCUGACAUCAAGGAAAAACGUAAUAAUAGUAAUAAUAGAAUGAUUAUUCGUGUCGCAAUUAGUGAUCAUUAUUUUGGCGCCAUUAUCUUUAUGUUGUCAACAAAAUCUUCUUCUUCUCUUUGCAGGUGUAAUUAAGCCGUCCCCUUUGAUUGCAAUAGUCUCAACAAUCACUGGUUUAAUUGUUGUCAUUUUUGGCUAUUUCUUAUGGAAGAAAACUACGGGAAAGAAAAGGUACUGCUACCACCGAUCUCAUCUCUCUCUCUGUCUUUUUCUUUCAAACGUGUUCUAACACUAUGACUAAAACAGAGAGCAUAAGAAGAACCAUAAUGAGAGUAAAAGUAAAUUUGAUGUUGGAGGUGGAAAGGAUGAUGCAGAACUACCGAUCUUCGGUUUACGGGCUAUAGUAGCUGCUACAAACAACUUUGCUGAAGCUAAUAAACUCGGGGAGGGAGGAUUUGGCCCUGUUUACAAGGUGACACUUCCACCAUGUGCUUUAAAUACAAGUACAUUUUUCUUCUCCUGAACACCUUUGUUUAUUUCUGACCUAAACAAAUAUCCAAGGAGAAUUAAGGGACAAAAAUAAAUAGGAGUGUGCAGGAAAAAAAAAAGCUGUGCAAAAAUCAUUCCCCCUUUCGAAAAUAUGAUUUUUUUUACUUUGAACUUCAAAAAAUGUUUUCUCUUGUGCGCUUUUCUUCCUCUGUACAGGGAAUUCUGGCUGAAAAUCAAGAAGUAGCCAUUAAAAGGUUAUCAAAAAGGUCAGGCCAAGGACACGAGGAGUUCAUGAAUGAGUUAAAACUUAUUGCCAAGCUCCAACAUACCGGUCUCGUUAGGCUCUUGGGUUGCUGUCUUGAAGAUGAGGAAAUGAUAUUGAUCUACGAGUACAUGCCCAAUCGGAGCUUAGACAAACUUUUAUUUGGUAAAUACAAGCUUAUGACUUAUUAAUUCUUUGUUUCUGCAAAUUAUUUUCCUUGUGUGCAAAUGUCAUCUACUGCAAGAUGCACAUUAUGCACUGUGUCCAACAUUUUAUCUAAAAUGAAAAGAAAAACACUUGCUCAUCUUUCUUCGUGGUUUGUCCAAUCAGAUGCAUCUGAAAAAAUUGAACUAAAUUGGGGAAGACGUUUUCGAAUUAUAGAAGGCAUUGCUCAAGGAGUACUUUAUAUCCACAAGUACUCGAGAUUGAAAAUCAUCCACAGGGACCUAAAAGCAAGUAACAUAUUGUUGGAUGGAGACUUGAAUCCCAAAAUUUCAGACUUUGGAAUGGCAAGGAUUUUCGGGAUAAAUCAGAUUGAAGCAAAUACAAAU
Molecule: long non-coding RNA, 56927 nt
Filed under: Malus domestica (apple)
Lineage: Eukaryota; Viridiplantae; Streptophyta; Magnoliopsida; Rosales; Rosaceae
Source: RNAcentral